This 63811-nucleotide long non-coding RNA is filed under the name Physcomitrium patens. RNAcentral describes it as "long non-coding RNA (PPAT_LNC005502)". The record is from RNAcentral. Lineage: Eukaryota; Viridiplantae; Streptophyta; Bryopsida; Funariales; Funariaceae.
AUUAAAGAUUAGCAAGUAUAAUUCAAACACGAAUCAAAUUCAAUCAAAAUUUCAAAGGAAUUAUGUAAGAAAUAUAAAGUAUUUUUAAAGACCCUUUAAAGAAAUCAUAAAGAAAUAAUAUAGGAUUUCAAAAAUAUACUAAAAUAGAAAUCUUAAUAAAAUAUUAAAAUAGAAACCUUAAUUAAAUCCUAACCAAAUCUUAACCAAAUCUUAGUCAAAUCCUAACCAAACUUUAAUAAAAUCCUAACCAAAUCCUAACCAAAUCUUAGUCAAAUCCUAACCAAAUUCUAAUAAAUCCUAUAUAAAUCUUAAUCAAAUCUUAAUAAAAUCCUAAUCAAAUCCUAAACAAAUUUUAAUCAAAUCCUAACCAAAUUUUAACCAAAUCCUAGUCAAAUCCUAAAAAUCCUAAUCAAAUUCUAACCAAAUCUUAAACAAACCUAAACAAACCUUAAUCAAAUCCUAAUCAAAUCUUAAAUAAACCUAAACAAAUCUUAAUCAAAUUCUAAUCAAAUCUUAAAUAAAUCUAAACAAACCUUAAUCGAAUCCUAAUCAAAUCUUAAACAUAUCCUAACCAAAUCUUAAAUAAUCCAAGUAAUUCCUACAGUAGAUUUUAACUUCAAUAACUAAUGAAUGAAUUAUUGAUUUUAGCUCAAAUUUUACUCACCUCUUUACAAUUAAGUUGACUAUGAGCAUAAUUUUUUUGAAUUAGAUUAAACUCUCUAAAAAGAACAACCCUAAUAUUUGCUCAAAUGUUGGUUAGCUUCCUUCUUCAAUCUGAAUGUUGAAUUUCCAAUAUCAAUAACUCCUUAUCAAACCAUUUGAUUGAUUUCAAAUUUUUUAAAUAUAUAGGAAAAUAAGUCUAUUACUUACACACAUUUGAUAGAUUGCAAGAAAUCUUAGAAAUCCUCACUAGACCUAAAACUCUACUUCUCAAGAUUCCAACCUACUUAAACCUCAAUAAUCCUUGAUCCAACCCUUCAAUCAAGCUAAAACUCAUAACAUAUAUUGAACACAUAUAUACCUACAAAACCUCAAAAUUUCACCUAUAGAUCUAUAAAAAACUUAUGAAAUUCUCCAAGAAUUAACACCCACUUUAUUUCACAAAUUCAGAGUCUUCCAAAUAAAUCCCAACUUUGUAAGGCUCUUGCAAAGUCAAUACAUACUCAAAUCACAUCAAAUUAAUAUUUAAAGAAAAUUUAUCAAGUUAGCUCUUAGAUACUAUUUUGAGAUUUCCAAAAGAAUCUGAGAAUUAUCAUCGAGGCUUGGUUGUGUGUCUCAAGAUUUGAUUUCAACCCUAAUUCAUAAACGGCCCUUUGUAGGUAUCAAUAUCUAGUUUUUUUAGAUAAUUUUUAUUAGAAUUUACUCUUAACUUCUUCUUUAAGAUGCCUAUUUCAUUUAUUUUUCUAAUCUACUUUAUUUUCCUUAUUUAUGGCCCUACAAAAUAAGUAGAAGUCACUUUUCUAAAAAAGUAGCAUUACUACUAAAAUUUUUAUUACCUUCAUAUCUUUUAUCUAUAUUUUUUUAUUUUAUCUUUUAACUUGGCUCUUCUAUAAUAAGAUCCAUAUUAUCAUCUUUUACCAUAUAGUCAUAUUACAUCAUGACAACGUAUUCUAAUAAAUGACAUCAAGAUAGUGUCCAUCUUACAUAUCUUUUGGCUAUUCAUUUUAAAUGAAUUGUUGAUUUGGUUAUUAUGCCAAUAGCAAUAUGAAAAAUGAGAUAUUUGGUCUUGAUUUAUGAAGAUUUAUUAAAUCAAGUAAAAGGUAGAACAUUAAGAACAAAGUCUAUAAAUGGGAUUUAUAGAUUUUUGUUUGAAAUUAUUAUUUGCCACAAUGAAUGUAUAAGAAAAAUCACUACAGAUUGUAGAGAGUUAAAUGUAUAAGAACUUGUGAAUUUUUUGAAAGAUAUAGAAUUAAUUUAUCAUUGACUACUACUUAUAAUCCUAAAGGAAAUGUAAAAAAUAAACUUAAUCAUCUACCAAUUAUAAAAGCAUUAGUUAAAGUAUUCAAUGAAAAGGUUAAAAAAUGGCUACAACAUUUGCCAUCUAUAUUCUUGGCUAAAAAAACAACUCAUAGUUUAGUAAUGGAAUAUAUGCCUAUUAAGCUCAUGACAGAUUAAAAAUCUAUUAUAUCAAUUGAAGAAAAGACACCUACUUAGAAUGUGUUGACAUAAAAAGAUGAAUUGAGAAAAGAAGAAAUUUUAGCUAUUAGAAUUCAACAACUUGAACAAGAUUGAAAGAUAUGCAAAUAGCAUUAGAAAUUUUAUAAAAGAAAAGUUUACAAAACAAGGCACAAUUUGAUAAGCAACAUUGAUUGAAACCUUAAGCAAUUCAAGAUGAUGAUUGAGUAUUGGUCUAUGAUAAUAGCUUGGACAAUCAACAUAGUUCUUUAAAGAAGUUUUUAAAAUAAUAGUAUAGACCAAAUAUCAUAAUAACUAUAAAAAUAAUGUAAUUUAUUCAUUACAAGAAUUAGAUGAAAUAAGGUUAAAAAUACUACUUACAGAGAAGCAAGUGAAGAUAUUCAAAUAAAGAUAAAUAGAAACAAAUAUAGAAGACCUUGUUGACAAUAUAAAUCUACCAAGAUAAGAAGAUGAAUUUGACUUGAAUAGAAAAAAUGAUGAAGAGUAUUUGAAUGAAGGUGUGAAAAAUAUAAUAUGAAUCAAACAAGAUUUAGAUUAUUUGGUGCAUAUCAAAGAAUGUACAAGUUCAAAGAAGGUGGAUGUCAUAUAUUAAUACAACUAUACGGUAAAAAAUAAAAACAUAGAUGUAUUAUAGAAGAUCCUAAUAGGAAGAUGUGAUAGAAGAAUAAGGAUAAAUGAUAGGAAGGUAAUAAAAAAUUUAGUCUUAAUGCUGUCUUUUAGAGAAGGGACUUCUAUUUACUUUGUAGAGACAUAAAUGUCUCAAAUCAAAGUAAAUGAAAUAAGUAAUUGGUAUAGACAUAUUUCAAAGGGAGUUAUCAAUAGUUUCAAGCAAAAAUUAUCUCAAAUUAUUAAAUAUUUAUAUUCAAGGAGGAUUAGUUGUCAAGCUAGAUUGAAUCAGAUCACAAGGUACAAAACUAUGUAUCUAUGGCGAUUCCAAGUUCUUUAGUAGAUUGGAGGAUAAGAUUUUAGAACAAAUUUAUAAAAAAAAUUGAAUAUUUUUUUUAUUAUCAAUCGAAUUAAUAUUCACUUUUUGGAUGAUUUUCAAAAUUACUAAAGUUCUUGAUUGAAUUCGAUUUUAAAAAAUAAAAUUAUGUUCACAAAAAUAAAGAUUCUUAAGCUCUAUGAUGUAUGUAUUAGUGAAUUUUAGGCAAUUUUUUGAUAUUCUAGUUGUUAAUGUAUUUCAAAAUUUUGAGGUCAAUCAAAAAAUUACAUGAAAGAGUGUGGAGGUUUUUGUAGGUUGAUGUCUCAAAAAUUGGAAUUUAAGGAUUAGUGAGUAUUUUUAAGAUAUUUAACAAUAAAAUGAUUGGAUUGAAGAGAAUUUUUUUUGUAUGAAGAUAAGACUUGAUUUUCUAUAAUUUAAGUAUAUUUUAGAGGCAAUUCAAUAGUUCAAGAAGGAGAUAUUGGCUUAGGAAGUUCAACAUUCAGUUUGGAGUAGGAGGCCAACAAACACCCAAACUAAAAAUAAAGGUUUGAUAUUCUAUAUAGUAAGUUUUACCUUCUUCAAAUUUAGUGUGUUUGUUGCCAAUUGAAUUAUUAAAAGGCGUGUAAAAUCUUAAGCAAGAUCAACAAUAUAGUCAAUAGAUAUUGAGAUUCUAAACUAUCUCAAAUUAGGUUAAAUUGAUUAAGGUUUGAUUAAGGAUUUAUAAAUUCAUUAUAAUUUAAGAUUUAUUUAGAAAAUGACCUAGAAUUUAAGUAAAUAUUACAAGGAUUUUAACUAGGAUUAAAAUAAUAUUUCAUUAGAAUUUAUUUAAGAUAUAUUUUGGACCUUUAUUAGAAAUUGUGCAAGAUUCUAAUUGCACAAUUUUGUAUUUUUUGUAUAAUUAUUUUUAAAUUUAUGUUAGAUUGGUCAAAUUUUGAUUAGGAUUAUUAUAGUUUAUAUAAAGUUUAUUUGAGAUUCUAUUAGACUUUGUAGGAUUGUUGUUGUAUUUUUACUUACCAUUUACAAUCAUAUGCAUGGUACAUUUUCAAGCAAGAACACAUAUAAUAUGAUAUAGGUGGUGAACUUUAGAUAAAAGCUUGAGGUAGUAGGUAUUAAAGUUUGUUAAUUUUUUAUUUUUAUAUAAUGGAUAAUGAGAGGAAGAAUUUUGAAGGAGCUACGGAAGAAGCUUCAAGUAGAGUUGUUAGUAGAGUUUUCACUAAAAGACAAGGUAUAUAUAUGGACCCAACCAUUGCAAGUAUAUUCUAAGCUUUUACAAUGUUUAUGCAAUAGCAACAAUGCAAUGAUUCCAAAGAAGCUUUGACAAUCAAAGCAUUAUAAAAAUUGAUUAAUAAGCUUGAUAAAUUUGAUAAAAGAGACAUUUCAAAGUAUCUAAGAUGUUAUAUGUAGAAAAUGGAAUUAAAUUGAAUUUCUGAAAAAAAGAUGAUUGACCUAUUUUGACUUGCCAUGGUACCAGAGAUAUAAAAAUAUAUUAAAUCAAUUAUAAAGCAUUACGAAAUUUCAUUGGAGAUAUUUUCCUAAGCAUUAAAAGAUGAAUAUUUAUUGAAGGAUACUGAUUUUAUUACUAAGAAAUUAUUUAUAAAAUAACUUGAAUGGCCUAAUAAGAAUUUAUAAGGAACAGAGCUAUUAAAGAAGUUUGAAAGGUAAUAUUCUCAAUUAUCAAAGGUGGAAAAGUUGACAUUGGAGCUAAAGAAGGUUGAAUUAUUUCUUCAAAUAGCCGAUGGAGAAUUACAAGAAGAAUUAGAAUUGCUUCUUAAAGACAAAGAAAAAGAUGAAGGAUUGACAAUGAAGUCAAAAAAUAUUGAAGAUGCUAUAGAUUUGCUUAUAAAAUAAGAAAAGAAGAAAGAAAGGAUUAAUAUUCUAAAAUUAGUACAAGCACCUAAAAUUUAAGUGCAUAGAGUAAAAUCAAAAAUUCCUAUCAUUCAAUCUCCAAUGUCUAUAUCAAAAAAAAAAAAUAUAUAUGGAAGUUAAAGAAAUUAUAUGUGGUAUGCAAGAACUUCAAAUCAAAUUAGCAAGACUCAAAAAAAAACUUCUACAAUCAAUUUGAAAGCUAUUUCAAAACAAGGAUAUAUAAAAAGAUGCAUUUGGUGUGAUAAUUUGUCUCAUAUUAGGAAGAAUUGUAAUGAAUUUAAUGAUAUGAUGCAACAAAAAGUUAUUUUUUGAAAAGAUACAAAGGUGGUAUUAAAAGAUAUAAGGGACCUCCUUCAAACCAAUUUUGAUAAGAUAUAAGAGCAUUGAUUUAAGAAUAUUUAAUAGCACAUGGAAUAACAACACAAAAAAGUACAAGUUAUGGUACUAAGCUAGAUGAUGACUUUAACGAUGUCAUGUUAUAAUACAACUAUAUGGUAAAAAUAUAAUCAAAAAUAAAUUUUUAAUUAAUAUUUUAUCAUCUUAAUACAUCAAUAAUUUAAGUUAUUUAAAAAUUAAUUUUAUAAAAGCCUCUUAGUUUAUUUUCUUAUCUUAAUAGCUAGUAGAUUAAAGGCUGGUUAAUAAUUUUACCUUUUAGGUUGUAGAAAUUCUUUUAUUGUCUUAGAAAGAUAAUAAAUUGAUAAAAUUAGGUUAGAAGAGAUAAAUAAUUAGCAUGUUUGAUAUUAAGAUUAAGUUGAUGAUAAGAUUGGGCUAAUAAAAUUUUUAGGAAAAAUUAGAUUAAUAUCCAAGGAUGGACCAUUUAUGAAAUAAGGUUGAAAUUAGACUACUAGCCACUAAACGACUACCUAAGACAAAGUAAAGGAGGCUUUUAAAGUUUUAUAAUAAAGAUUUGUAAGCUAGCUUUAAGUUAAUUUUAGAGGUAUAAGACUUAUUUUUAGAGGAUUUGGAAUGACUUUGCAAUUAUUAUUCAAAGUUAUGAUUUAUAUUGGUGAUUUGGAAUUUAUGCAAUACAAUUAGGACUAAUACUCUUGGCUAGUUUAUACAAUUGGUAUUACAUCUAGAGUUUAAAAUUUGAAAGUACUUAGUUAAUUGAAUGUGACAAGUAUGUAUAAAAUUUUAUAUUAAUCUAAUAGUUCAAUUGAGAGAUAUCUAGGUUUUCAUACAAAAGGAUAUUAGAAAUUGACAAUUUGAGAUUGAGUAGGAUUUUUAUGAUAUUUACAGAUCAACUAGUUGGAUCAAAGUAAAAUUUAGAAUAGUAGUAGAAGACUUCAAGAUUAAGCUACACACUAAUUUUGAGUUGAAGUUAACAAUUAGAAAAGGAGACAUUGCUACAAGAAUAUUUACAUCAACUUUUAAGUUGGCAGCCAAGUGACAUUAGUAUGGUUUUUGGAUUUUUUCUAAUAAUUUGUAAGUUGAAUUGAGCUAAAUUUUUCUAAGCAUAUAAAAGAUUUAUAGUGGCAUUUGUGUGCAAAAUUUUGUUCUAAGUGAAUAGUUAGAUUAGGAGUUACAAUUUAUUGAAAUUCAUUAACUAGAAUUAAGGCUUGCAAAGAGAAAUCAAAAUUAUCCAAUUAGAAUUUGUGUAUAGUUGAGGUUACUAAAAAGAAUAUUUUUGAGCACUUUGUAUUAGCUUUAAGCAUUUUUGAAUUAAAAUUCGAAUUACUUUAUAUUGGAAUGUGUGAAAUCUAUUAGGAUUUCUUGAAUAUAUGUAAAAUACAACUUCACCUUUCACAACCAAGUACCUAGUGCAUUUCCAAACAAGACAAUACGUAUUACAACAAUAGAAGUAUAGAAAUAAUUAGAUUUUAUAUUUUAGCUAUUUUUACAAUACAAAAAGAAAAGAUGCCUUAAAAAGUAUUAUUGUGAAUUACAACUACAAUAUAAAAAAUAAGUUAAAAAGAUCUUGUAGAGGCUCUUUCAAUUCAUGCAUAUAUUGCUAAAAGUCAACAUGAAGCGUUGAUGGAAGAAAAGAGAAGAAAAAAUUUUGGUGAUAUAAGAAAAAGAAAUUCUUCUAAAAGAAAAACUUGAAGAGAUAAAGUUCAUGAAGUAGCUUCAUAAGAAUUGCCUAUAAAAGAUACUUCAAAAUUUUGAAAGAAAAAAAAAAAAGACAAAAGAUAUGAAUAAAUCAACAACUUAUAAACCACUUUUUGAUAUUGAAGUAGCAAUAAGUUUAAAAGAAGUAUUACAAGAAUAUAUACUAAAUGGUAAGGUGGAGUUCAUAUGAAAGAGAUUUUAAAAAUCUUAAAGAAGAAGUUUCAUGAUGUUAUUAUUGAAAAUAUUAAAAAAAAAUAAUAAUAAUAAAUUAAUAAGUGAAGCUAGAAUAAAUCAUGUUAUUGAUGCAAAAAUAUACAAGGAUGAAAAAGAGAUUGAUAAUUGUUACAAGCAACCAUCCAGUGAAAAGAAUGGUUUUAAGCAAUAAGUACAUUUUGAAGAUUCUAAUGACAAGGAAAUAGAAGCUUCAAGUCAUUACACUUGAAAGCAUUAGAUAAGGGCAACUAUAGAAGUAUUAGUAAAUGUAGAAGAUAUAAAAGACCAAUUGUUGUUUUAGUUGACCAUGCUUUUGAGAUAAAUCUUAUGUCUAAAGAUCUUUAUAAGAAGUGAAGAUUACUAAUUGAUAUGAAUUAUGGAUGGAAAAAAUGAACAACUAAUAACACACAAGGUGAAUUAUAUAGAGCUUGUUCAAAUGUUAAAAUUUGGAUUAAAGAUGUUAUAAUAGAAUAACAUUUCUUUGUUUAAGAUAUGAUAUCUUAUCCAAUGAUUUUAGGACAACCAUGUAUUAUGGUAACACAAAUAAAAACAAAAAUGCUUGAUGAUGGUUCAGCCUAUACAUGGAUAUGUAGUAAAGAUAAAAAAAGAAAAUAGUAUAAUUUCUAAUUCUACCUCCUAAUCAUGAAUAAAAUUGAGAUAGGUUGAGGAAGAAGCUAUUGCCAAGAAUUGUUGAAGGAUUUAAGGAUUUUGAAGAAUCAUUGUAAAGUUAGAUUAUGAAAGUACAAAAAAAGAGGUACUCUUACAAGAUGUAGGUGCCUUUGAUGCAAGUUUUAUUGACAUUUUUGAAUAUGAAAGUAUUAUAUACAAGAAAGUUAAAAAUUUAAAAAGAAAGAAAAAAAGAAAAUAUAUAAUAUUAAAAAAGAAUUAUGUAAAUUAGAGACAUUAAAAGAUAAUAAAAAUAUUUUAGAUAUUUAUAAAGAAAAUGGAUUAAAAGAUUCUUUGAAUUUCAUUGCAUCUAUUGGAUUAAGAGAUGAUGAUAAGGUUUUGGAAAUUCAUUUAAGGGAGGUUUAUUCUAUACUUGAAUCUUUUCAAAUACUUGAAGUUAUUAUAGAGACAAAAUAUAAAACCAAAAGUAAAAUCAAUUUUUGAAUUUUUACAAGAAGAUUCUACAGAACAAAUAAAAGAAGUAUCAAAGAAAGAGAGUUUAAAGAAUUGUAGAAUAGGUAAAUAAAUUUUGUGGUAAGUUAUUGGUUGGUUAUUGACAACCUUCAGAGUUAGACUUAUGGUUAGGCAGUUUAGUUGGUAAUAAUAGGUUGUUAGUGGAACAAAUGGUUAAGAAUUCAAAGGCUCAUAAUCUUUGGAAUCUAUUGGCCGAUGGUCCAUCUUUUGGGUAGGAUAAAGAGGUUGAAGAAAGAGAGAUUACGACCAGACUAUGAGAGUCAUAAGCCGGAGUAAGCUUGGUGCUACCUCUUUGUUUUCUUUGCUUUUAUUAUUUGCUUAUGAAGAAUUGUGAUUGAGAGAAGUAUUGUUGAAAUUGUGAUUAGAAUAUUGUGGAAUAUGACUUUGAAUUGACCAUUUUGGAGAAAAUCUGAGACUUUGAGAAUUGAGAUUAUCGAAUUGUGUUGUAUUAAGUAAAGAUAUUGAAUUCUGUGUCAUGAAUUGAGAAACUGAAUAUAAUAAGUAAGCUGGAGAUUAGUAAUUGAAUAUAUAUAAACUACAAAGAGAAUAAGUGGAAGAUGAACAGAUAAGAAUAUGGAAGUAUUGUUGAAUUGAUAGUCGUAGAAUGGAUUAUGUGUUGAAUUAAGACGGAAUUAUUAAGCCUUGGUGUUAUGUAGUUUGAUAAUUGAUUUCAGAUAGCUAGAGUACAGUCAAUUGUGACACUAACAGAUCCAAUUCAUAUAACCAGUCUUUUUCCAUGUUCAAACCUACCUCUAUUAGUUCAAUUGCUUUGGUAUAUUGAAGCUUGAAUACAAUGAGAACAACAUUUUGGCGCUGCUGUCGAGAAAAUAAUAACAAUAUGAAAUGUUAGAAAUUGAUUGUAUGAAAAGAAUGAAAGAUUAUGAGUGAUAAUCAUAAAGGAAAGAAUUAUCAAAGUAUUAAUCGACAAGCAAAAGAAAGACAAGAGCGAUUACGCAUAAGAAAUCUCCUACGGGAAUGACUAAAAGGAAUUGUAGGUCCAAGUAAAACCAAAGGAAGAAAAAUUCAAAUUCAAAUAGCAAAGAGACCAGUGAUAACACCAAUGGCCACGGGAGUGCCAGAAGUACCAAUUGUAGAACAAAUGAGAGCAGUAGGAGAUUGAACUACAAGUGUGGCACCAUUACCUACUUUUAGUGGUUAGUUGAGCUUUGAUCUCAAUCAUUAUAUAGCUCAAUUCUUGACAGCCUACGUUAUUAAUAAUGAUAGAACUGAAGACAUUUGGUUACAAUGGUUGCCAAUAAUUUUAAAAGAUAUAACUUUUGAAUGCUAUAUUCGGCAACCAAUGGGUAGAUUUUACAAUUGGGAGGCCUUGAGGAAUGCCUUCUUAACCCAUUUUAGACCAAUUGGAUUUGAAGAUCGGCUUCGAGAAAGUUUUUAUGAGUAGCAGGAUGUUUGCGAGGGAAUUAAUAGAGUUCUAUUAUGACCGGAUUAUGAAUAUACUUUGUAAAUGGUUAAAUAAUCAAAUGACAGAUGCGUUUAUAUUGUCAAUAUUAAUUAACAAUUUGCAUCUAUUAGAAUUAAAAAUAUUUGUAAAAGAGGCUCGACUAGCUACGGUAGAGGCAUCAUUGGCACGAGUAAAGAUAUAGGAAGAAUGUAAUUAUGACCAAUUAUUAACAGUGGGGGCCACAAUGAUUCCAAGUUCAGGAAGCCAACAAAUACAACUGAGAAAUGUAUUGAUGGAUAAUUAUCCACAAAUGGCUGACUCUAAUGUGAAGAAUGUUAUGUUGCAAAAAUCAAUUAAUGCUACACCACUUUAAGCAAUAGCAUCAAUAAUAAUAACACCUUAUUUUACAUCACCAACCUAUCAACAACCGGAAUUGUUCACAAAUGCGAUUGUUAAAGAUCCAAAUGAAGCCUUAUUAUUAAAUCUAACAAAGAAGAUAGAAGAAUUGGCUAUGAAUUUAGUUAAAGAUAAGGAAAAAUGACAUAAACCUUCUAAUAUGAGAUCUAAUGUAUGGUGUAAUAAUUGUAAGGGAUAAGGUCAUUUUGAUAUGAAAUAUCCAUCAUCCAGACAAAUGGAUAUUCAAUGUACAUUUUGUGGAAGAAAGCACCCUACCCAAAAUUGCUGGCAUUUUCAAAGGCAACAAAAAUUUAGUAAUCAGACCAUGAUUCCACCGACUCAGUGGAAAGUCAAUUAUGUUUAAACAAGAAAUAUGUAUGGAUGGAAUAGAAAUUGAUUCAAUCGACAAAAUUGAACAUUCAAUAAAUUUCAAAGUUCCAAUUUUAAUCAGGGGUCUGCAUCAAACCCCCAGAACUAUGGGAAGGAGUCGUAUAGGUAUCAGCAAUAUGCUCCACCGGCAUUGUCGUGAUGUAACACAACUAAUAGGUAGAAGAGUGUGGAGAUUAUUAUAAUUUAGAAAAUCUCAGUUCAAAGUAUUAGAACAAAUUAUCUUAGAAAUAUAGUUAAUAGUCAAAGGGAUAGAAAAAUUAAAAGGUACCCAUGCUGCCUUACAGAAAGGUGACUUCUAUUUACUUUAUAGCACCAUAAGUAAGGCAAAUCAAAGUAGAUUGCUUAGCAUUGUUAAAGUUUAAUUAAAAUUUAUUUAGUAUUCUAUUAGAAUUAGGAUUUUUUUGUUAUAAUUUCCAUUCUACCUUCCAUAGCUUAAUACUUGGUGCAUUCUUGAGCAAGACUUCACGUAACAUGAUAGUGGUCAUUAUGUAUUAAUGAAAGCUUAGUUGCAACAAAUUAUAUUUGCUACAUACUUUGAUCUUUGUUUUCUUUGAAGAUGGUUGAUAGGUCUUUUUAGCCAUUGAUAGUAUCCCAUAUUAGAGCAUGAAGACCACCUGAUUAUUUGAUCAUUGUUGAGGCCUUUGUAACUUCCUUCAAAUAAAUCAUUUAGAAUACUAUCAAGAAUUGUUCCUAUCUCUAAUAUAAUCACCAAAUAUUGGAAGUCUCUUUUAAGGUUGUGAUAUCAAAUAUAUUGUAUCUUGCCAUCUAUUUGAGAAAGGACAUGCUAUUAUUGAGGAUCUUUAUUUUGAUUAUAUUGUCUUGAAGGUUGUUACAAUUGUAAUAUUUUGUUUGAUAAGUCAACAAAUGAAAGCUCUUUAAUUGAAUCUAUUAGUUUUUGGUUUUCUAUUUCUUUAACAUUACAAAUACACAAAAGCUACAAAGAAGAAUAGAAGAUAGAGUGUUAUCUUUCUUUGAUCUUGUUUCUUUUAUAGAAAAGAUUUGUUAUUCUUCAUUUUGGUUUUGAUAGAUGUUGUCAAUAAAAAGCUUCAAUUUUCUUUGCUAUAUUUAUAAGAUUCUUUGUUAGCUUCCAUGAAUAUUGACUAAUAUCAUAUCCGUACUAAUAAACAAGAUAUUUCAACCUAUUUUGAUGCCACCUUGAAUCUAAGACUUCUUCCACUUCAAAUUCUUGAUUAUUAUCUACUUCUAUAGGAAGAAGUGAUAUUUGUCUUCUUUCCAAGAUAUUUAUUGUCUUAUAUGGCUCAAAAAGAGACAUGUAAAAUAAAAGUUAAAUCUUCAUAGACUUAGAUAGAUAUAAUUGAUAAGCGACAAGAUUGACUUGUUUACUAAUAAAAAAUAGUCCAAACUUACAAUAGUCCAACUUGUCACAAGAACAAGUAGUCUUGAUAUUGCGACAAAGUAAUCAUACCUUAUCACUUAUAUUGAAUUAUGAUUAUUUCUUGCAAUAGGCAUCUAUAUUAAUCUUUUGUCAUUCUUGAGCUCCCUUUAAUUGCACCUUUAUUGUUGCAUAUAGCUCUAACAAACAAUUUGUCAAAUCUUUCUCUGUAGAAUUAUCAACUUUUAAAAAAUCAAAAGUAUCAAGUCAUAGAUGAUAACCAUAAUUGACAAAGAAAGAUGUUUAUUGAGUGGAAGAAUAUAUCAAAUUAUUAUACGCAAACUUUGUCAAUAGUAAAAGAGUUGUCUCAUCAUUUUAAUGAUAAUUGAUGGUAUACAUCAAGUAUUACUCUAAAAUUUGAUUCAUCUAUUCCGUUUGUCCAUCAAUUUGAGGAUGAAAAAUCAAAAAAAAAAUUAUAUCCAUCUUUAAAAUCUUAAAAAGAAUUCUACAAAAUCUUGAUAUAAAUUGGGUUCCUUUAUUCAAUAUAAUAUCUUUAAGCAAUCCAUAAUAGCGAUAGAUAUUGUUAAAAAAAAGUUUAGCCAUUUUUUCACUUAUGAUAAAUUUUGUAUAUGAUACAAAAUAUGCCAUUUUGAUAAAAUAAUCUACUACUAUGAAUAUAGAAUCAUAUAAGCCUCAAACUAAAAGAUUCAUGAUAAAAUCCAUAGAAACAAAAGACUAUGAUUGUUUUGGAAUAGGUAAUAGUUGAAGAAGUCCAUAAGAUCAAUAUUGAGGAAUUUUUGAUCUUAAACAAAUAUUACAUGAUUAUACAAAGUCUUUGACUGCCUAUCAUAUUUAAUGCCAUUAAAAAUCUCUUGAUAUUAGCUUCAAAGUCUUAUUGUAUCUAAAAUACUUGACUGCUUGAAAGGCUUGACAAGUUUGAAAAUCAUGUAAUUAUGCGUCACCUUUUCAAAUGUAUAAUUCUCUUUUGAAAUAGAGUAGGUUGUUUUUAAACUCAAACUUAGAAGUAUCAUGAAACUUAAAAGAAUUAUUCUUGAUAUCAUAGAUAAAAAGUUCAUAGGACAUACUUGAUUGAAUUUACUCAACAAAAGUUGAAUCAAUAGUCAAUGCUGAUUUUAUUACUCAAAAGUGAAUUUGCUUUGACUUCAAAAGAAUCAUUCUUUGUGGAUCAAAAGAUGCAUCUUCUUCUUUUGGUAAAAAAUAAGAAUGUCUAAAAAGUGCAUCCAACAAACCUUGUUAAUUUCCAAUAUUGGAAUUGAGAGAGUUUAUCUCAAGAAAGUGCUUGGCUUUUGGCUGCCACUAAAUGUUCAAAGAAGUCUAAGAUAUAAAAGUUCUAAAUUUAUAUAUAUAAUAUUUUUCUUUUUAGAGCAAUUACAUGAAAACAUAAGCCUAAUUACAUGAGAAAAGAAUAUCCAAAUAUAUGAUAAAAUAUCUUAAAAUCUUAUAUAUCCUUAUGGAAAUUUUUUCCAUACUUCAAUAAUUCAUGAUUUCAUGAUCUAACCAUCCAAACAAACUAAAAUUUUAUAUAAAGUACUGAUAUUUUUUCAACAACUACCAAAACAAAUUUUAACUACAAAUUUGUUGUAAAUCUUGAGAUAUUGCCAAAAUCCUAAUAGUAGCUUCAAACCCUUGCUUAUAUACACCUACAUGAAAUUUUCUUCAUAUCUCACAAACUAUGUAUUCAAAUACUAUAAAACUUUGAUUUAUAGCUUUUUAACCUAAUAACACGCACUUAUAGAAAUUUUGAGCCAAAUGUUUAUCCAAAAACUCAAGAUAUGGCUCCAACUACUACUAUCAAUAAAAACAAAUCACUUAUUGUCUUUGAAUUAAAUACACUUUCUUUAAUGUCUUAUAAUUCCUUUAUUCAAACUUAGAAUUCAUCAAACAAUAUAUAAAAAUUGUAGCUAAAAAAGUGCUCUCUUCAACUACAAUUGCCGAUCUUUUGUUGCUCUUUGUAAGUGUAUGUUAUAUCCCAAAGAGUGACAAUAGAUACCUUAAUUUAGAGCAUCUAAAACUCCUUCAUAAAAACUUCAAAUUGCACAAAAAUUUCAUCCAAAUCAUAUCCAAAAAUCUAAAAUUAUUGAUUCUAGAUUCAAAAGCUCAAAUAAAUUUAGAAAAGAAAUCUUAAUCUCUAAUAAGGCCUCAAAGAGCAUCCUUGAAGUCCAUGGGGCAUGACAUUCAACCAAUAGGGAUGAAGAUCUUUAUACCUUACCUUCAUCCAACUAUACCUUACUUUCAUCCUUUCGAAUAAACCUUCUAAUAGUUUUGACUUUCAUCUUUAGGCUCCAUUCUUCUCUUAAGAUUUAUACUAAAUAUCUAAAUCCUACAUAAUAUAAAUACUAUAAUCAAAAUAGAUAAACCUCCAAAUAUAUUUUCUUAUAUCAACUCUCUUUAAAUUUACUUAAUAACCAUUCUAAUCUACAUCAAGAUUUACAAACAUAAUAUAUAUUUUAAUUAAUAUUUUACACACUAUAAGCAACUACAAUACAAUAUCAGGUCGAUAAGUAAACUUGAAAUCAAAUCUUGAUGAAAAUAUGGUCCAAAAAACUUGGAAACAAUUCAAAAUAAGUAUUAACAUAAAAUAUUUGAGGUCCUUGUGAUCUAUAUAUGCGGUGACUAGACUUAAGGCAUCUUCUAAGUAAUGAUGCUAUUCUUAAAAUGAAUCUACAAUUGCAAAGAACUCCUUAUUGUGGGUCUCAUAAUUAAUCUUGAUUUCUAAAAAUUUCUAGAAUAAAAAGCUACUGAAUGAAAUUUGUAAUCUAUUCCCAUUUGUAAUAAUAUUGCAUUCAAGGUAAAGUGUGAUGCAUUUGUUUCUAUGAAAAAUGCUUGGAAGAAGUCAAUUUGAUAUAAGAUUAGUGUAUAAAUAAACUUCUUUUUUAUAGCAUAAAAUAAUACUUUGACUUCUUUAUACUACUCAAGUUUGUUUUUAUAAAUCAAACAUAUAAAUAGACUUGCAACUUAAAAAAAAUUCUUAAUAAAGAUUUGAUAGUAACUAGCAAAGUUUAAAAAGUAUUGCAUGUUUCUUACUGUUCUUAGAAUCUUUCAAUUCAUGAAAGUCUAAAACUUCUUCAGAUCUAUCAUUAGCCCUUCAUUAGAAAUAAUGUAUCUUAAGAAGUCAACUUGAAUAGUAUAGAAUUCAUACUUUUUUAUCUUAGCAUAUAAUCUUACAUUUCUAAGUUUUUAUAAUACACAACAAAUAUGAAUUUCAUACUCUUCUAUGUUCUUAGAGUAGAUUAAAAUAUUGUAGAAAUAACAAAUGAUAAAAUCAUCAAAAAAAUCAUAAAAGACAUCAUUCAUUAGAUAUUGAAAAGCAGCUUGUAUAUUUGUGAGUCCAAAAGAUAUGACAUUAUAUUCAAAAUAUCCAUACUUGACUCAAAACAUAAUUUUUUAUUCAUCUCUUUUUUAAUAUGUACCAAAUUAUAUAUUCUUUGUAGAUCUAUUUUUUUAUAAAUCUUUACUUGAUUCAAUUGAUUAAAAAGUCUUAAAAGAAAAGAUAGAAGAUAUCUAUUCUUGAUGGUGAUCUUAUUGAGUCCUUAAUAGUCUAUCCACAUCUGCAGAGGUUUGUUUGUUUGUUUGUUUAUUUAUUUUUUUUUUCUUUACAUAUAAGAUAGAAGCCUUCACUAGAAAUUUAAAAUGACGUACAAAAUUCUUAGCUAAGUUCUUUUGAAUGUAUUCUUUGAGUGUAGCCAACUUGUUUUGUGAUAGAAUAUACAUUGGUACAAAUAGCCAUUAAGUUCUUUUGUCAAGAUCAAUAGAACAAUCAUAAAGACAAUGCUCUGAAAGAAUAUUAGCAUUCUUUAUUUCAAAAAUAUCUUAAAAAUCUUAAUACUAGCUAAAAAUACCACUUAACAUCAUUUUACUAUCAAAAAUGGACAUGAUAUAUAAAAUAAAAGAUAACCCUUCUUUUAUAAUACACAUAAAAGCUCUUAAAUCUACCAAUAAAGGUUUGAAUGUAAUAAAUUUAUUGGAGGAUAUUGAAGAUGUACAAAUAGAAGCAACUCCAAUAGAGUGUAACAAUCAAGGAUGUCUUACAUUUGCAAAGAAUUCAAAGCAUUAUUUAAGGACCAAACACAUUGACAUUCAAUAUUACUUUGUAAGAGAGAAGAUUGAAAUGAGAGUGAUUGAUAAGAAGUAUUGUGCAAAGGAGGAAAUGCUUGCUGAUUUAUUGAUAAAGAUAUUAGUAAAAGAUAGACACCACAUGUUAACAAAGGCAUUAGAAUUAAAAGCCAUUUGACGAAUAGCAAAGUGGGAGUGUUAAAAUAAAAGUAGAAUAAAUUAUCUUAUAGAUGAUAUUAACUUAGGUAAGUUACUAGUGGUCAAAGGUUUGAUUCUUGCUAUAUGGUAAGGGCAUCCAAUAGAUAUAGGACAAAGUCAUGGACUAAGAGUCAAAGUCAAAAGGAUAAAGUAUUAACAAAGGAAUAUCCAAAGACUAAGUAUGAAUCAUUAAUAUGUGUCAUAGGAUACCCUAUAAGCUCGUGAGAUGCCAAAAGGAUCCUAGGGCCACGUAUAUAAAAGUCAAAGAGUAAAAGUUAUCUUUUACAACAACAACUACUACCUAUAAGUAAUCGAUAUUGGAAGUGAGAGACAUCUUAUUCCAUACUCUCUUUGUAUACAACCUUGCUGAUGCUAAGUAUUGUAUCUUCAAAGUGCUUAUUCUUCAAUAUUUUGGAUCUUCUUUGGAUCCAUUACAAGUUUUUUAUUGCAAAUGAUGUACUCCAAAAAGUCAACUUGAAUAGUAUAAAAUACACACUUUUCUAUCUUUGUAUAUAAUCUUGCAUCUUUUAGUUUUUGUAACACACAAAAAAUAUGAACUUCAUACUCUUCUAUGUUCUUAGGAUAGAUUAAAAUGUCAUCCAAAUAAUAAACAACAAAAUCAUUAAGAAACUCAUGAAAGACAUCAUUUAUUAGAUGUUGAAAAGUAAUUGGUGUAUUUGUGAGCCUAAAAGGUAUGACAUUAUAUUCAAAAUAUCCAUACUUAGUUCAAAAAAUAGUCUCCCAUUCAUCUCUUUCUUUGAUACAGACUAUGUUAUACGUUCUUCAUAGAUCUAUUUUUAUAUAAAUCUUUACUUUAUUUAGUUGAUCAAAAAAUCUUGAAAUCAAAGAUAGAAGAUACUUAUUUUUGAUGGUGAUCUUAUUAAGUCCUCGAUAAAUCACACACAUUUGCAAAGAUCCAUCUUUUUUCUUUAUAAAUAAGGUAGGAGUACCAGUUGGAGAUUUGGAAUGGCGUAUAAAGUUCUUAGCUAAGUUCUUAUCAAUGUAUUCUUUGAAUGCAGCUAACUCAUUUUGUGAUAGGCUAUAGAUUGGUCAAAAUAGUAGUUGAGUUCCAUCUUGAAGAUUGAUGGUACAAUAAUAAAGACAAUACUCUAAAAGAAUAUCUACAUUUUUUUUUUCAAAAACAUCGUUGAAAUCUUGAUACUUGCUAAGAAUACCACUUAAUAUCUUUUCACUAUCAACAAUGGGCAUGGCUUAUAUAGCAAAAGUUGGUCCUUCAUUUGUGGCAUGUAUAAAAGAUUUUGUACCUACUAAUACAGAUUUGAAUAUACUAGACUUAUAGAUUUUUACUUGCCUAGCAAGACCUUGGGUUAGACUAUGAGAAAAAUUGAGAUUGUGAGAAAUGUAGUCUAUCUGAGGAUUAUAUCUUUCUAAUUACAAUAAUCUUAAAAUGAUUGAAUUAGAAGGAGAUUUAAUCACAUUAAAUAUUACAAAACUAUUGUAACUACUAAUUUCUACUUUAUAGGAAUAAUUUCAUAUGUAACAUCCUUAGAUAAUAAUGAAUGUUGAUCUAUUAUUUUUACAUGGACAUGUUUGAUAUUCUUAACUAAGGAUAUAUCUUAUUUUUUGAUAAAGUCUUCAUCUAUAAAACAAGCCAAGGCUCUUGAAUCCAACAAGGCUAAGACUUUAUAAUUUUUUGGUCCUAAAUAGACUUCUAUUUUAAAAGAAGGUGAGGGAUCACUGGAGAAGAUAGGACCUUUGCUAGAUGUUGCAUAUGAUUCUAGCCACAUGAUUCCUAAUGUAAUUGAAUUAAUUGUUUUUUGACACAUUGUCUUCUUUGGCAAUUGUGUUCUUAUUUUGUAAUUCCAUUGUUUUUUUAAAUAAUUUUGAGUAGUAUGUUUAGCUUUUUCAUAAUAUAAGCAUAAGUCCUUUUGACAUUGUCGACUAUUUUCCUACUUUGUGAGGGAUUUAAAAUGUACCAUUGUUAUGAUGUAAAAUGGCUAAUAGGUAAAAAGUUGAAGAAAGUAUCAUAUUUUUGAAGAUCUUAUUUCAAUUAUAUUGAAAAAAAUUAUCUUAGGAAAAUAGAUAAUAGUCAAGGAAUAGAAAAAUUAAAGGUGUUAAUACUGCCAUUUUAUAAAAUAGGCUUCUACUUACUUUGUAGGACCACAAAUAAAAUAAAAUAAAAUAAGAUAGAUUAAAAAAAAAUAAUAUAAACAUAUUUUAAAAAAGUAAAGAGUAGUUUUCAGCAAAAAUUAUCUAAAAAAACUAGAUAUUGAUACCUAGAGAGGGCCAGUUAUGAAUCAAGGUCGAAAUCAGACCUUGAGGCUUAAAAUCAUGCUCUGAUAUUGAUUCUAGGAUUCUUUGGAAAAUCAAAGAGUGGAAUUAGUGAGCAGAUCCAACAAAGUUUUAAUGAGCAUUAUUUUGGAUGAUUUGGAUUUGUAUUGACUUUGUAAGAUCUUUGCAAAGUUGGAGUUUAUUUUGGGUGACUCUAGAUUUGUGAAAUAAAGUGGGUGAUACUUUUUGGAGAAUUUUGUAAAUUUGAUAAUAGAUCUGUAGAUGAAUUUUUGAGAGUUUGUGGAUUUAUAUGUGUUUAAUAUAUGCUAUGAGUUUGAAUUAGAUUAAAAGACUGGAUUAAGGAUUAUUGAGGUUUAACUGAGUUAGGGUCUCGAAAAAUAGAGUUUUAGGUCUGAUGAGGAUUUCUUAGUUUUAUUGCAAUCUAUCACUUGAACUGGAGUAAAAAUUAUGUGUGUGGAUAGUAGACCUGUUUUCUUAAGUUUAUGAGAAAUUUGAGAUCAAUUACAUGGUUCAAUAAGGAAAUAUUAACACUAAAAAUUCAACAUUUAAAUUUGAAAAGAAGGUUGUCCAACACCUGUACAAAUAUUAGAAUUGAUCUUCUUUUUAGAAAGCUUUAUCUUCUUCAAAAUUUUUGUGCUUGUUUUCAACUUAAAUGUGAAGAGGUAUGCAAAAUUUGAGUUAAAAUCAAUAGUUUAUUCAUUAAUUAUUGAGAUUUAAAUCUAUUAUAGGAAUUACUUGAGAUUAUUUAGGAUUUGGUUAAGAUAUAAUUAAGAUUUGAUUAGGGUUUGAUUAAGGAUUGUUUAGAUUUAUUUAGGAUUUGGUUAGAAUUUGGUUAAGAUUUGACUAAGAUUUGAUUAAGAUUUGUUUAGAAUUUGAUUAGAAUUUGGUUAGGAUUUGUUUAGGAUUUGGUUAGGAUUUAUUUAAGAUUCGAUUAGGAUUUGAAUAGAAAUUGUUUAGGAUUUAACUAAUAUUUAUUUAGGAUUUGAUUAGGAUUUUUUUAGGAUUUGACUAAGAUUUAUUUAAGAUUUUUUUAGGAUUUGAGUAGGAAUUAUUUAGGAUUUAAGUAGGAUUUAUUUGAGAUUUGUUUAGGAUUUGACUAAGGUUUGGUUAAGAUUUGAUUAGGAUUUAAUUAGGAUUUGAUUAAUAUUUUUUUAGGAUUUGACUAAGAUUUGGUUAAGAUUUGAUUAAGAUUUAAUUAGGAUUUGAUUAAGAUUUGUUUAGGAUUUGAUUAGAAUUUAGUUAGGAUUUAUCUAGGAUUUGAUUACGAUUUUAUUAAGAUUUGUUUGGAAUUUUAUUAGGAUUUCAUUAGGAUUUGUUAUGAUUUGAAUAGGAUUUAAUUAAUAUUUCUAUUUUAACAUUUUAUUAAGAUUUUUAUUUUAAUAUAUUUUUGAAUUUCUAUAUUAUUUUUUUAUAAUUUCUUUAAAAGGUUUUUAGAAAUACUUUUUAUUCUUACAUAAUUUUUUUGUAAUUUUGAUUGAUUGAUAUUUGAUUAUACUUGCUAAUCUUUAAUUAUAAUUUAUUUAAGAAUCUGCUAGAAUUUUUAUGACUUAUUGUUGUAAUUUUCUUUUUAUCUUCUACAACUAAAUACCCAGUGCAUUUUCAAGCCAAACACCAUGUAUUACAACAUCAUAUUGAUUUUCAUUAGUUCUAGCUUUGAUAAAUUAGUUUGUGAAAACUUAAGAGUUGUUGUUAAAAUUUAAUUUAUUCCUCUACAUCCAUAUCUUUGUUGUUGAUGUCUUUCAAAUAAUCAAUUGUUAUAUGCAAUGGCUUGAGCAAUAAAUUGUUUUAAAGAUUUUAUCUUUGGCAUUAUCAAUAACAAGUAUUUGACAUUAUCCUUCAAUCUAUAUUAAAAUUGAUUAAUAAGGGCUUGGUCAUUUCAAUUCAUGUCACAAGAAAGUUUUAGAAUUCAAUAGCAUAUAUGGUGGCUGACAGUGAUCCUUGCCAUCAAAAUAAGAGUUUGGUCUGUGCUAUUUUUUCUUGAUCAAUUUUUCUAAAUGUGGCCGUAAACACUUCUAGUAAUGAAGAAAAAUUAUAAAAGAGUUGGAAUUUUUUUUUAUUAUAAGUACAAAUUAAGAGAGAGCACUUCCUAAUAGAAGUGUAUAUAUGAAUCUGACUUGAGUAAAUCCAUCGGGGUAUUGGAAAUGAUGCAAUCUUAGAUAGAGCUUGAUUUAUUGUAAAAAUCCUCAAAAUUUUGAUCUUGUUCCAUCAAACUUCUCAAGCAUACUAGUUCUUAUCCUUGUCAUACUUCUAGAAGAAAAACUUCCUAGAUUCGAUUGUGAGGUUGAUCUACUUGCUUCUUUUAAUUGCACAACUUUGUAAUGUAGACUCUAAACUUCUUUCAUAGGCAUAGGCAUAGUUCCUCAAUGAUCCAUGUUGGAAAUACAUGAGAUUUGCACUCUUAGAGUAUUGACAAAGUCAUGAAGAUCUGCAAUAGUUACAAAUCUAUUCUAACUUUUGCUUGGAGUAGCAUCCAUAAUCUUUCUUUCUACAAACAAUUCAAAUAAAUCCAAAAAUUAAAUUUAAAAAAGAUAAUCUAUAAUCUUUAAUAAAGAUUUCUACAAAGAAGGGUAAUCCACUCUCUUUAAUGAAAAGAUUAGUGUUAGAAAAUAAGAUUUUUUGUUUAAAGGUAGAUAAUUUGUAACCUUCAAAAUACAAAAAUAAAAGUGGAAUAAUCCACUUACUUCUAUAACAAGAUAGAGAUAAUAUGUUAGUGCUCUUGUCAAACUAUCAAGGACAUAAAUCUUGAAGAUGGAAAAUUCUCAAUACAUUCUUAAGUCAUUAAAGAGAACUAGAAAGUCUCUAAAAAAUGUGAUGUAAUAUUUGACUAGAAUGGCUAUUGCCAAAAACAGAAAAGACUAGAAAGUCUUGAAAUAAGACUAAAGAUUAAAAAGGUUUUGACAAGAGUGAAGAAGGUUUCACUCUUGCUUCUAUAUAUACUUUCUAAUUAGGAGCUACAUAGCAAUAUUCUAUAGGACCUCCAACAUGUAUUGACUUUGCUAGCCACAUGUCUUAACUUACAAGGCAAUUUAUCUAUGUAUGCACCACAUAGUUAGCUUGUUCCACAAGCUAGUAGAUGGAGUUAACUUAUUCUACAAGCUACCAAUACAUUGUCGUAUUAUGUAUUGUCUUGCUCAAGAUUACACCAGGCACCUAGCUAUGGAAGGCGAGGUUGUGUUUCACAAGUAUCCAAAAAUCCUAAUAGAUUUUAUCCAUAUGAAAAGAAUAAAAUCUGAAUUUUGAUUCAAAAGUGCAAAAAAAUAUUCUUUUUAGUAGCCUUAAUUAUACAUAAAUUCCAAUUACCUUGUUACUUUCAUAUUUAAGCAAUUUAGAUUUUUCUUAUAAAUCCCAAUCCUAAUCAGUGAGCUUUAAUAAGCUGUAACAUCCAAUAUGACCAUCCACUUGAUGUAAAAUUUUGUAUGCAAUUAUCAAUGUAGAUCUUCUACAUGCUCAAUACUUUUUAUUCCAAUCCAACUUACAAAUUGUGAAAAAACCUCCAAAAAUUGUACUAAUGUCACUUGGCCGCUAACUUGAAAAGUGAAGUAAAAAUCCUAGUAGUGAUUUCUCCUUUUUCAACCAUUAACUUUGACUCAUAAUUGGUAUGAAGCUUGAUCUUCAAGUCCUUCAACACCAUACCAAAUUUCACCAUGAUUCAACUAAUAGAUCUUUAGAUAUCAUAGAAAUCCUACCCAACCUCAAACUGCCAACUUCCAAAACUCUCUUGUGCUAAAAACCAGAUAUCUCUAAACCAUGCUGUUACAUUAACACAAAAUUUUGUAUACAUUCAGUACACCUAGUAAUCCAAAAAAUAUCAAAUUUUCAACUGUAGAUGUUAUAUCAAUUGCACAAACUAGCCAAAAUUACUAGCCCUAAUUAUAUUGUAUAAAACCCAAAUCACCAAUAUAAACCUUGAUUUUGAACAAUAAUUGUUAAGUCUUCAAAAAUCUUCUAAAAAAAAUCCUUAUGCUUUUGAAAAGAAUUUCAAGCUAGCUCUCAAAUCCUAUCCUAUAAUCUUUAAAUGAAUCCCUAUUUUACCCUAGGCUGUCAUUUUAGUGGCUAGUGUCACGAAUUUAGAAUAUUGACUGGAAAUUUAAAUAAGAAGCUCAAGAAGAAUCGGAAAGAACUAGAUUAGUCAGAUGAAUACAAGAACAACAUUAGAGAGGUAAGCUAGAACUCCAAGAGGUGUAUUGUCGAGAAUGAGGAUCCUCUCAGUCUUGACUCCUAUAUAUACUGCAAACUAGGAAGCUUCUUAAGUAGCUUUUACAAACUGGAAACCUUCUCAAGCAACUUCUACGAGCUUGAAAACUUCUUAAGUAGCUUCUACAAACUAUAAAGCUUCUCUAGAAUCUUCUAGAAUCUUCUACAACUUCAUAGUAUAUAUCUUUGACAUCAUUCCCCCUCCUUUAGCUUCGAGGUCUUUGAGAAGCACUCCUAUUCCAAGUGAGUACCAACGUAAGAAGUUAAAAAUUUGUCACAUAGUAUGUGCAAUAUAUUCCAAUUAUUGUUUGGAAACAAUAAAUAAUUAAUUUGUCUUUGUAAUCAAUGAUAGUAUCCUACGCCUUUGAUUUUUGACUAGGCAUAAACUUUCAUAUCUUCAUUGUGAAAAUGCCUUGCAAACACUCCUUCGGGAAGAUCACCAUAGGCAGGUUCUACCUCAAAUAUAAUCACUAGUAAUCUGUUACUAGGUAUCCUCCGUUAUCUGUGGUACAGGCGGUUCUUCAUGUCGGGGUCGUCUUCGUGAGAUAGUUGGUUGAGAAGACAUGACUGGUAUGGUAUCUAUUUCUUGGUUAUCCAUAUCAAACUGAAAAAAUAAGCACUAAACAUGGAAGAAUGGGCUCAGGUGACAGAUUUAUAGUCUCUAACUAUGUCUUUUUGAGAGGUUCUUUCUUCCCCUUCUUUGUAAGGCCGAGGAUUAAGAGGCUUUAAGGAAAAAGGACUUCACUAAAAAACUUUCAUCGAAAGGACUUAAGUUUUUGAGGAUAGCGUCGAUGAAACUCCUGUACUUUUUGUGACACAUUGACAAGAUUUUUUGCUAGUUCCCAUGUGCGCUCAUUGAUAUCAUAGCUGCUCUAAUGUACUAGGUACUCUGAUUUCUCCCACUUACGUUGUAAAUCUAAUACCUUUUCGUAUUCCUCAUGAUUCUCAAUUUCAAUACUAGGUGGCGAACAUUGCACUCUUUUAGGAAAAGACAACUCUCGAUAAGGCUCUAACAAAGAAACAUAAAAGAUUGGGUGUACCUUCAUAACAGCCGAUAACUCAAACGGUAUGCCACUUGAUUGAUUUGCUUCUGGAUGACAAAUGGUCCCAAUCUCUGGUAGUCCAAUUUAUCACAUGGCUACUUGGUUUUGAUAUUCCGUCGAAGCAGCCAUAUUUUAUCUCCAAUUUUGAAAGUAGGUGUUUGAUUCCAAAAUUUAUCUCCAGACGCCUUGUAAGCUUCUUGGAUUGUUUGCAAUUGAAGCUUCAACUUAGUUAGAAGCUCCGAUAGUUGUUUCACAAAUCCUUUAGCUGCCGGGUUAUUAUUGGUUAAUGGAUUCAACAAAUGAAGUUUCGAAUAAUAUCCAUAGUUGAAAAAGAAUGAUGUUCGUUGAUUCAACGCAUGAAGGGUGUUGUUAUAUGUAAACUUGGCUGAUGAUAGAUAUGCACUCCAUUCACCUUAUUGAUAGUUGAUGCUGCAUCGUAAAUAUUGCUCUAAAGUUUGAUUCACCCAUUUUGUUUGGCCAUCAAUUUGAGGAUGAAAAGCCAAAGAAAGCUUGAUAUCCACCUUCAAUAUUUUAAAGAGAGAUCUCUAAAACUUUGAUACAAAUUGGGUUCCUUGAUCCGACAUGAUAUCAUCUAAUAAACCAUGAUAUUGAUACACACUAUCAAAGAAGAGUCUUGCUGUGUCUUUGCUAGAUGAUGUUUUCUUGCAAGGGACAAAGUAUGCCAUCUUUGUAAGCCAAUCUACUACAACAAAGAUGCUGUCAAAUAAAUUCGAUGGCGGCAAGUCCAUAAUGAAGUCCAUAGAAACUAAAGACCACAGCCGACAUGGAAUAGGCAAUGGCUGAAGAAGACCAUAAGGAUGAUGUCGAGGAUUCUUCGAUCUUAAACACAUGUCACAGGAGAGGACAAAAUCUUUGACAUCCUUCCACAUUUGAGGCCACCAAAAAUCUUGGGAAAUAAGUUCCAAGAUCUUAUUGAAUCCAAAAUGUCUCGCAGUUGAAAAGUUGUGUCGAAAUUAGAGAAUUCAAAGUCAUGCUGAUCCCUUUGGAAUAUACAACCGCUCUUCAAAGUAUAAAAGAUCUCUUUCCACCUUCAAUUUGUCAUUAUUGACACAUUGAGUGAUAUCGAGGGCUAUAGAAUCUCCAAUAGUCACAAUACAUACAUUGGCUUUAUAGUAGAACAAAGCCUCAAUUGUUCUGACUUCAAUAAUGUUGUACACUGUUGAUUAAAUGCUGCUUCUCUAGUCUUUGAUACUAGAUACGAUUUCUUUGAUAAUACAUCAGAUAGUCCUUGUUGCUUCUUAGGUUGAUAAGUAAUAACAGAAUCAAACUUGAAUAGCAACAUAUUCCAUUGAGCUUGACAACGAUUCAAAACCCGAGUCGACAUGAAGUAUUCUAAAUUCUUGUGAUCCUUGUAUAUGAUCACCGAAUCCACAGCACCUUUGAGAAAGUGAUGCCAUUUUGAGAAAGAAUCCACUAUUACAAGAAGUUCUUUAUCGUGGAUCUCAUAGUUGAUCUCAGCAGCAAAAAACUUUCGAGAGUAGAACGCAACUGGAUGAAGCUUCUCAUCUAUGCCUAUCUGCGAAAGUACAGCUCCCAUAGCAAAAUCUGAAGCAGCAGUGUCGUAUUGUAAAUGCUUACAGUUUGUAAAAAUUACUUAGAACAUAUUAUAUGUUAAUAAAUCUAGAUGUGUGUUAGAGUGGCUGUCACGGACCAAAAAUACAAACAAAAAAUCUAAACAAGAAGUUCAAGAAGAAAUGACAAGAACUAGAUUAUCAGAUGAGUACAAGAGCAACGCCAAGAGAAUUGAGCUAGAGCUUCAAGAGAUGUGUUGUCGAGACUGAAGAACUCUUCAGCCUCGACUCCUAUAUAUACUAUUGGCCUAUGGUUCUAAGGAAGCACAUCAAGAAGCUUCCCAAGAACUAUGAAGCUUCUCAAGCAACUACCCAAGAGCUAGGAAGCUUCUCAAGUAACUUCCUAGAAUCUACUAGAAUAUUCUAAGAAUCUUCUAGAGCCUUCUAAGGGAAUCUUUAGAGAAUCUUCAAAGAAUCUUUAGAGAAUCUUUAAAGAAUAUUCUAAGAGAAUAUUCAAGGAAUCUUUUGGAAGUUUCUAGAGACUUCUUUCUAGAAGGUUCUAGAAACUUGUCUCUAGAAAGGUCUAAGGACUAUGUCCCUAACAUCACCUCCUUCUUUAGCUUCGAGAUCUCCGAGAAGCAAUGUUAUCGUCAGUCAAUACCAACGCAAGAAAAUGAAGAUCUGUCGCAUAACCUCUGCUAUGAACUCCAAUUGUUGUUCACGAGGUAAGUGAUUCAAUGGUCCUUAAAGCCAACGGUAGUGGCCCAUGCCUUCAACUUCUGACCAAGCAUGAACCUCCGUGUCUUCAUUGUGAAAUUGUCCUGCAAACACUCCUUCUGGCUGACCAUUGUAGGCAGGCUCGACCUCAAAUACAAUCACCAGCGAUCUAUUGCUCGAAAUCCUUCGACGUCGUCGUGGUGCAAGCGGUUCUUCAUCUCGCAAUCGUCUUCGUGAGCUAGUUGCUUGAGAUGACAUGACAAGUGUAGUAUCUUGGCUAUCCAUAUUCAAAGGCUAAAACAAUAAGAACAAACUUGGACUACUAACAAAGUUCUACGCUAUCUUGGAGAGAAUGACUACAUCAACUAUGGAUUUUGGUGGUGCUCUCUCCUCUUUUCUGUUUUUUGGAUGAGCAAGCUUCAGUAAGAAGCUAUCGUCGAACCGGCUUGGGUUUCUCAGGAUAUCGUCGAUGAAACUCCUGUACCUUUUGCGGCGCAUUCGUGACAUUUUCGACCGGCUCCUAUGUUCGUUCAUUAAUAUCGUAACCGCUCCAAUGCACAAAGUAUUCUAAUUUACCCCAUCUUUGCCGUGAAUCCAGGACCUUUUCCACCUCGUAUUCUUCGUGGUUCUCUAUUUCUAUGCUAGGUGGUGGACAUUGUACUCUUCCAGGAAAAGACGAUUCUCAAUAAGGCUCCAACAAAGAAACAUGAAAGACAGGAUGUACCUUCAUAGUAGCUGGUAACUCCAAACGAUACGCUACAGGAUUGAUCUGCUUCUGGAUAACAAAUGGUCCCAAUCUCCGAUAGUCCAAUUUGUCACAUGGCCGCUUGGUCUUAAUAUUUCGUUGAAGCAGCCAAACUUUGUCUCCAAUCGUGAAUUUAGGUGCCUGAUUCCGAAAUUUGUCCGCGGACGCCUUGUAAGAUUCUUGGGCAGUUUGCAAUUGAAGCUUCAAUGUAAUUUGAAGCUACGAAAGCUCCUUCACCAAUCCUUCAGCUGCCGAAUUGUUAAUCGUUGACGAACUCCAUAAGUCAAGCUUCGGAUGGUAUCCAUAAUUGGAAAAGAAUGGCGUUUGUUGAGUUGACGCAUGAAGGGUGUUAUUAUAUGCGAACUCAGCUAGCGGUAGAUAUGCGACCCAAUCAUCUUGUUGAUAGUUGAUGGUGUAACGUAAAUAUUGCUCUAAAACUUGAUUCACCCGUUCUGUUUGGCCGUCCGUUUGAGGAUGAAAUGCCGAAGAAAGCUUGAUAUCCACCUUCAAUAUUUCAAAAAGAGAUUUCCAAAACUUUGACACAAACUGGGUUCCUCGAUCCGAUACGAUAUCAUCUGGUAGACCAUGAUAUCGAUACACAUUAUCAAGAAAGAGUCUUGCUGUGUCUUCGCUUGACGAUGUCUUCUUGCAAGGGACAAAAUGCGCCAUCUUUGUAAGCCAGUCUACGACAACAAAAAUGCUGUCAAAUGAAUUCGAUGGUGGUAGAUCCGUAAUAAAGUCCAUGGAAACCGAAGACCAUGGUCGGCGCGGAAUAGGGAAUGGCUGUAGAAGUCCAUAAGGUCGAUGUCGAGGGUUUUUGGAUCUUGAACAAAUGUCACAAGAUACAACAAAAUCUUUCACAUCCUUCGACAUUUGAGGCCACCAGAAAUCGCGGGAAAUAAGUUCCAAGGUCUUAUUGAAUCCAAAAUGUCCCGCAGCUGGAAAGUCAUGACGAGAUUGAAGAACUCGGAGUCGUGUUGGCCCUUUUGGGAUAUACAACCACUCUUCGAAAUAUACUAGAUCUCCUUCCAUCUUGAAUUUAUCAUCACUAGCAUGUUGCUUGAUAUCAAGGGCUAGAGAAUCUUCAAUGGUUGCGGCCCGUACCUGGUCGAGGAAGACAGCAUCAAUUGGUACAAUAGCUAUGUUGAGCCAAAAUUUCUCUGGCUUCAACAAUGUCGUGCAUUGUUGAUCAAAUGCUGCAUCUCCAGCCUUUGGCGCGAGAUAUGAUCUCCUUGAUAAUGCAUCGAACAACCCUUGUUGCUUCCCAGGCCGAUAAGUAAUAACAAAGUCGAACCUGGAUAGCGACAUACUCCACCGAGCUUGACGCCGAUUCAAAACCCGAGCCGACAUAAAAUACUCCAAAUUCUUGUGAUCCGUAUAUACGGUCACUGGAUGUGCAGUUCCUUCAAGAAAGUGGCGCCACUCUUGGAAAGAAUCUAUUAUAGCAAGGAGUUCCUUAUCGUGGAUCUCAUAGUUGAUCUCAACAGCAGAGAAUUUUCGAGAAUAGAACGCAACUGGAUGGAGCUUCUCAUCUACGCCUAUCUAUGAAAGUACAGCUCCCAAAGCAAAAUCCGAAGCAUCUGUCUCUAAAUAAAAGGCCUUUAUAAAGUCCGGAUGUACCAAGAUUGGAGCUGUAGUAAAUACCAUCUUCAAAUCUUGAAAUGCUUUUUCUGCGAUAGGUCCCCAUUCGAGCUUGUCCUUAUACGUUAAUCGAGUGAGGGGGGCAGCAACUUGAGAAUAAUUCUUGAUGAAGAUCCGAUAGUAGUUAGCAAAUCCAAGAAAACAUUGUAUGUUCCUAACCGUCUUCGGAACUUCCCAAGACAUGAUUGCUUCCACCUUCUUUGGAUCCAUCUUCAAGCCUUCCGUAGUCGCGAUGAAUCCCAAAAACUCCAUCUCAGUUUGGUGAAAUAAGCACUUCUCCAAUUUGGCAUAGAGUCCUCACUCCCGUAGUUUUUUGAGUACCAGACAAACGUGCUUCUCAUGUUCUUCCUCAUUCUUAAAAAAUAUCAAAAUAUCAUCUAGAUAGAUGACAACAAAAUCGUCUAGAUGCUCUCGAAAGAUGUCAUUCAUCAUGUGUUGAAAGAUCGCUGGAGCAUUAAUAAGACCAAAUGGCAUGACAUUGUAUUCAAAAUAGCCAUAUCUUGUUUGGAACGCUGUCUUCCAUUCAUCUCCUUCCUUAAUUCGCACAAGGUUGUAAGCUCCCCUUAGGUCAAUCUUUGUAAAGAUCCUUGCACGCCCAAGUUGUUCUAGAAGACCAGAGAACAAAGGCAGUGGGUAGCGAUUCUUUUUUGUCACCUUGUUGAGACCUCGAUAGUCCACGCACAUCCGUAGUGAGCCAUCCUUCUUCUUCACAAAUAAGAUUGGUGCCCCAGCUGGCGACUUCGAAUGACGGAUGAAGUUCUUGGCUAGAUUCUCGUCAAUGUACUUCCGCAACUCAGUCAACUCCGUCUGCGACAAAUUGUAGAUUGGUCCAAAAGGUGGUUGUGCUCCUUCUUGUAAUUCAAUGGCACAGUCAUAGGGUCGAUGCUCUGGCAGCAUAUCAGCAUUCUUCUUUUCAAAGACAUCUUUGAAUUCUUCAUACUGCUUUGGAAUAACCAAAGUCGGAGUUGCAUCUUCUCGAGUCGGAGUUGCGAAGAUGACAAGAGGUGUAUUUUGCUUGGCUUCCUUCAUGAAAGCCCUUGCACCUAUAAACAAGGAUUUGUUUCUAGACAUUGUCUUGGCAGAUUCCACCUUCAAGGAGUUUGUUGGAAAUGUCACUUUCCGCAACUUCCAAUCUAUCAAUGGAUUAUAUCUAUCAAGCCAAGAUAGUCCCAAAAUGAUAGGACAUGAAGGGGUCUUGAUAACAUUAAAUACAAUAUUGCUCUCAUGGUUUUUAAGACGUACCUUCAAUGGUUUAGUUUCAUGGAUAACAUUGCCCGAAGACAAUGGUCGUCCGUCUAUAACUUCUACAUGGACAGGCUUAAGUUUCUUUACAAGAGAAAUAUUGUGAAGCUUGGCAAACUCUUCAUCUAUAAAGCAAGCAGAUGCACCCGAGUCUAAUAAAGCAUCGACUUGUAGUUCUUGAAUACCCAGAUGUAAAGGUACCAUAAAACAAUCUGAAGGUUGAGCUGAGAGAAAGGGACCUUGAUUAAUUUUGGAUGUUGAGAUGUCCAGCCGCACGGUCCCUAUUGUGGCUGGGCGUCCUUGUUUUCCUGCAUGCUUGUACUCCUGAGUCUUGUUGUUUGAGGCUUCUGUUUCUUCCGACAAUCUACAGCUUUAUGGCCCGCUUCUCCGUAAUAUAAACACAAGUUUUGUUCAAACCGUCGCUUCCUUUCCUCAACUGUGAGGGGUUUGAAACGUACCGCAUCAAUUUGCAUGGAUUCAGGAUCUGUGGAGUGAUUCUCUGGACCUUUUGAAAAUGUAACAAAUGCUCCAUCAUUUCUCCAGCUUAAUCGUCUUUCUUGUCGUAAUUCAAAGAGGCGGUUGUCACAAAUAAUUGCCUGAGAUAUAAGUUCUUCUAAAGUAGCCGCCUUAGGCAUGGUGAUCAAUAAGUUCUUGACAUCAUCUCUCAGUCCAUAUCGAAAUCGUGUCAUGAACUCCUUAUCAUUCCAAUCAAGAUCACAUGUAAGUUGUUGAAAUUUUGCAGCAUAGAUUGCAGCAGAACGUGAUCCUUGUCACAGAUUUUGUAUCUUUCUUUCAGCCACUCUUUCUCGAUCGCUAUCUCCAAACGCAGCAGUAAGUCUCUCUAUGAAAGCCUCUAGGUCGUACAAUAUUGAAGAAUCCUUCUCCAAUAGUGGAGCAAACCAAGAGCGAGCAUUUCCUGAUAGAAGAAUACCUAUGAAAGCAACCUGGGUAAAUCCAUUCGAAUAACGAGAAGGAUAUAGGCGUAGGUAAAGCCGUACUUGUUGCACAAAACCUCGGAAGUUGGCUCUUGUUCCGUCAAACUUGUCUGGCAUACUCGCUUUUGGUUCUUUCGUACUAAUCCUUGAAGUAUCCAUAGGGGUCGUAUGUGACACAUGUCUUGCUUCUCUCAGUCGAAUAAUCUCUUAUUGUAGGCUAUGAAUUUUGCGUCUAGCUUCUUCGGUCACUAGAUCAAUUUGAGGUUCUUUACUUGGAUUGCGAAGAAAUACAAUCUCCUUUCGUACACUAUUCAUAAGAGCUUGAAGAUCUGCAAGAGUUGCCACUCUAUUGUCUACUUGUGGAGAUGCACUGUCUAUGACCUGGUCUACUUCAAUAUUUAGAGAAUAGAUGGAUUAAAAUUUUGAGAGAAGAAGAAAUUGCUAAGUCUCUUGGAGAAAAUUGUAGCACUACCUGUCACUAAAACCUACUCGGAGAAAAGAAAAAAAAACACUAAACGAUUUCAGUUUUAGAGGAGGGUAAUCCGCAACCUCUAAAAAUGCCUCAAUGCUUUCGAGAAGAGGGGUAAUCCGCACUCUAUCAAGAAGGCAAAGCUCUGAAAUCAAUGUUAACAGUCUUUUUUACUAGCUAUGCUAAACAAAAAGAAGGAAUUAAAAUCAGUCCAAGAGAGGGUAAUCCGCAACCCUUAGAACGCUCAAGUAUCUUCAAGGAAAGGGGUAGUCCACUCUCUGCCUCAAAGAACUAAGCUCUGAUAUUGUGAUUGAAAAAAUAUCAGUUUAGAGGAAGGUAAUCCGCAACCCCUAAAGCGCUAGAAUACCUUCAAGAAGAGGGGUAAUCCGCUCUCAAACAAGAAGGAUUCAACUCUGAUAUUAAGAUAAAGGCAGUCUCGACAAACUGUCAUGGACCAAAAAUACAAACAAGAAAUGUAAACAAGAAGUUCAAGAAGAAAUGACAAGAACUAGAUUAUCAGAUGAGUAUAAGAGCAACGCCAAGAGAAUUGAGCUAGAGCUUCAAGAGAUGUGUUGUCGAGACUGAAGAACUCUUCAGCCUCGACUCCUAUAUAUACUAUUGGCCUAUGGUUCUAAGGAAGCGCAUCAAGAAGCUUCCCAAGAACUAUGAAGCUUCUCGAGCAACUACCCAAGAGCUAGGAAGCUUCUCAAGUAACUUCCUAGAAUCUACUAGAAUAUUCUAAGAAUCUUCUAGAGCCUUCUAAGGGAAUCUUUAGAGAAUCUUCAAAGAAUCUUCAAAGAAUCUUUAAAGAAUAUUCUAAGAGAAUAUUCAAGGAAUCUUCUGGAAGUUUCUAGAGACUUCUUUCUAGAAGGUUCUAGAAACUUGUCUCUAGAAAGGUCUAAGGACUAUGUCCCUAACAGUGGCUAGUAGAUUAAAUUAAAAAGAGUUGGUAUAAGAAACUUUAUUUUGUUUCUUACUUGUUUUGAUUUUGACAUUAAUAUAUAUAUAUAUAUAUAUAUAUAUAUAGGACCUAAAUAUAUAGUAUAAAGCUUAAGAGAAGAUUGGGGCCUAAAGAAGAAAAUCUUAACUAAUAGGAGGCUUAUUGAGAGGGAUGAAAGCAAAGCAUGGUUGGAUGAAGACAAGGAAUGGAAAACUUCAUUCCUAUUGGUCAAAGGCCAUGCCCAAUGGGCUUCAAGAAGGCUGCCCGAGGUCUUAUUAGAGAUUAGGGUUCUUCUUUCGGAGGAAUUCGGAGAAUAUAAACUAGGGUUGUAAAUUUUAGGAUUUGGGAUACAAUUUGUGUUCAAAAAUUAGAGGAUUUGGAGUUAAGGUGAAGAAGUUAUAGUCGUUUGAAGUUAAGGUAUUAAUUUAAGACAUACUGUUACUCUUUUGAGGAUACGAGGAGUUUUACAGUAGCUUUUGAAGAUCGGAAGGUGCGACUUGAACGACAAUUUCAAGGCCUGUAUCUUUGAUGAAAAAGUUAUUACUUUUGGAGUUUAUAUGAAGGAGUUAUAAGGAAUUGAAGGCGGCGCUUCCAAAUCAAAUGCAGUAAGUAAGCGGUUUUGUUUAUAGUAAUGGUUGGAGCCAUAACUUGAGUAUUCGGACGAAUUUUUGGCUCAAACUUUUUUCAAAAUAUAAAAUUUUUUGUUAAAAAGCUAUACAUAUAAAUUUAGUGAAAUUUGAGCUUAUAUUUUGUGAGAUAUGAAGAAAAUUGCAUUUGGGUAUAUAAAGACAAGGGUUUGAAGUGACUAUUAGUGUUUUCAAGAUAUCUCAAGAUCCGCAAUGAGUUUGUGGUUGAAAAUUGUUGUAGAAGUUAAUAAGAAUAUAUUAGUAUCUCAUGUAAAAUUUGAAUUUUUUUGGAUGGUCGCAUUAGAAGACAUGACGUGUUGAAUUUUGGAAAAAUCUCCACAUAAGAAUAUACAAGGUUUUUGAGGAUUUUAUCAUAUUUUGGGUGUUGUUGGUUACUUGAGGCUUGUAUAUUUGGUGUAAUUGCUCAAAAAAGGGAAAAUUUACAUAUAAACUUACGGCUUGUUUUAUUUUCAAGCUUAAUCGAAUAAUUAGUGACAGCCAAAAGCCCAGCAUUUUCUUGAGGUAAACUCUAUCCCGACAUCGGUCUCCAAAUAGAAGGCCUUUGCAAAGUCCAGAUGUACCAAGAUUGGAGCCAUAAUAAAUGCCGUGUUAAGAUCUUGAAAUGCUUUUUCUACUAGAGAUCUCCAUUCAAGCUUAUCUUUAUAUAUCAACCGAGUGAGCGGAGCAGUAAUUUGAGAAUAAUUCUUGAUAAAGAUCUGAUAGAAGUUAGCAAAACCAAAAAAGCAUUGUACAUCUCUAAUUGCCUUUGGAACUGCCUAUGAUACAAUUGCUUCCACCUUCUUAGGGUCCAUCUUCAAGCCUUCCAUAGUUGCAAUGAAUCCCACAAAUUCUAUCUCAGUUUGGUUAAACAAGCACUUCUCUAAUUUUGCAUAAUGUCCUCGCUUGCAGAGUUUUUUAAGGACCAGACGAACAUGUUUCUCAUGCUCUUCUACAUUCUUGGAAAAUAUCAAAAUAUCAUCUAGAUAGAUGACAAAAAAAUCGUCAAGGUGUUCCCAAAAGAUGUCAUUCAUCAUGUAUUGAAAGAUUGCCGGAGCAUUGGUAAGACCGAAAGGCAUGACAUUAUAUUCAAAAUGGCCAUAUCUUGUACGGAAAGCUAUCUUCCAUUCGUCUCUUUCCUUGAUUCAUACAAGGUUGUAAGCUCCUCUUAGAUCAAUCUUUCUAAAGAUCCUUGCACACCCAAGUUGCUCUAGAAGACAUGAUAUCAAGGGUAAUGGAUAACGAUUCUUCUUUGUCUCCUUAUUGAGACCUUGAUAAUCUAGGCACAUCUACAACGAGCCAUCUUUCUUCUUCACAAAUAAGAUUGGUGCCACAACUGGCGACUUCGAAUGACAAAUGAAAUUCUUGACUAGAUUCUUGUCAAUGUAUUUCCGUAAUUCCGAUAACUCCAUUUGUGACAAAUUAUAGAUUGGGCCAAAAGGUGGUUGUGCUCCUUCCUAUAAGUCUAAUGCACAAUCGUAUGGUUGAUGCUUCGAUAGCAUGUUGGCAUUUUUCUUUUGAAAUACGUCUUCAAAAUCCUUAUAUUGCUCCGAUAUAUUUGCUGUCAAAAUCUUCUCUCCGCUAGUUGGAGUCGUAUAAAUAACAAAUGGUGUGCCUUCCUUAGAUGAUGUUGUAAACGUUCUUACUCCAAUAAAUAAAGGUUUUUUGAUUUGAGAUCUUCUAACAAGCUUACUCUCAGAAUGUUCUGUAGAAAAUGUCAUCCUUUGUAACCUCCAAUCUAUGCAUGGAUUAUAUAUUUCUAACCAAGAAAGACCAAGAAUAAUAGGGUUUGAUAGAGUUCUAAUAAUAUUCAAAAUAAUAUAACUACUAUGGUCUUUAAACGUCACCUCUAUAGGUUUUGAUUCAUGGGUGACACUACCACACAAUAAAAGGUCGAUUUAUUACUUCUACGUGAACAGAUUUAGGUUUUUGUACUAGAAGAAUCUAGUGACGUUUAACAAAUUCUUUAUCUAAAAAUCAAGCAAAUACUCUUGAAUCUAAUAACGCUAAGGUUUUUAGUUUUUGAGGGCCAAAAGAUAGAAGAAUGGUAAAAUAAUGGAUAGGUUGAGUGAAAAGAGAAGAACUUCUUGGGAUAGUUUCCAACUCUGUGGCCUUCUUCAUUGCAAUACAAACAUAAUCCUUCCUCCAUACGUCACUUUUUUUCUCCUAAAGUUAAGGAUUUGAUAUGUACUGCAUCAAUUUGCAUGUCAUCUAUCUCUGAAUGUGAAUUCAGCGUACUUACUAACAUAGUUGGAAUAUGGUGAGUCGUAUAUUAUCUUGAGCGUUGGUCUUGGCGACGUUGGAAUAUGCGAUUAUCAUACUUCACAGCUUGGCUAAUGGCUUCAUUGAGCAUUCGUGGAUUAGAAAGAGAUAAUAACAAAUCCUUCUCAUCGUCCCUCAAGUCCCAAUAAAAUUGAUUCAUCAAUGUUUUCUUGUCCUAGUUGAUGUUGUACGCUAAUUGUUUGAAAUUUGAUGCGUAGAUUCAUGUAAAAUGUGCCUCUUGUUGUAGCGACUGGAUCUUUGUUGUAGCCCAUCGUGCCUUGUCAUAUUUGCCAAAUGCUUUUGUAAACGCCUCUAAAAAGUUUUAAAGUUGUUCAAAAUUGACGAUCUUUUCUUAAACAAAGGAACAAACCAUGAUAGAGCUUGUCCCAUGCGCAAAGUUUCAACUAGUCCAACACGUGACUCCUCUGUCGAAUAGCGUUUGGAUUGUAGAGCUAUUAUCAAUCUAAUUUGAUUGACAAAACCUCAAAACUUCGAACACGUAUCAUCGAACUUGUUUGGAAGGCUAAUUCGGGGCUCCUUUCGUUGUAAGACCAACACUCCUUGUUGAACUAAAGGCAAAGUUGCUUCUCUUGGUGCUGAAGCUUAACGCUAGUGAAUCCUCGAUUGUGCCAUCCCGGAUGCUCCAUCAUCAUGAAGUCUUGCAAUGAUUCCUUCAAUUUCUAUAGUUUUUUAUGAUAACAUAGCAAAAACAUUCAUAAUGACAUGUAACUUGGACUCUGAACUUUUAGUCAUACUAAUAUCUUAACCUCUAGCCAUUUUAAGAGAAAAAAAGAAAUGACUGUACAAGAAGGCAAUAUUAGUUUAGAAGAGGAUACUCUGCAACCUCUAAAAUGCCUUAAAACCUUCAAGAAGAGGAAAAAUCUACUCUCUCAAAGAAAAAUAAGACUCCAAUAUUAUAAUAGAAGAAAUAUCAGUUUAGAAGAGGGUAAUCCACAACCUCUAAAAUAUCAGCACCUUCAAGCAGAGAAAUAAUCUACACUCUAAUGAGAAAGAACUAGCUCUGAUAUGAAAGAUGAGUGCAAUCUCCAGAAACUGUCACGAAUUUAGAAUACUAACUGAAAAUCUAAACAUGAAGCUGAAGAAGAAUCAACAAGAACUAUUUUAGUUAGAUGAGUACAAGAACAACACUAAAGAGGUGAGCUAGAGCUCUAAGAGGUGUUUUGUCGAGACUAAAGAUUCCCUCAGUCUCGGCUCCUAUAUAUACUACAAGCUAGGAAGCUUCUCAAACAGCUUCCACGAGCUUAAAAUUUUCUCAAGUAGCUUCUAUAAACUACAAAGCUUUUCUAGAACCUUCUAGAAUCUUUUACAACUUCUUAGUAUAUGUCCUUGAUAGCUAGAGGUCUGAUUUUGAUCUUGACUCACAAAUAGUCGAGCUCCGGAUAUUAAUCUAAUCUAUCACAAGGAUUUUUUAGCCCAAUCCUACUUUCAACUUAAUUCUAGUACCAAUUAUACUAAUUAUUUACCUCUUCUAACUUAAUUUUAUCAAUUUAUGUUCUUUUCAAGGUAGUAGAAGAGUCUCUACAACUUAGAAGAUAAAAUUAUUAACUAACCUUCAACCCACUAAUUAUUAAGAUAAGAAAAUAAUCUAAGAAGCUUUUAUAAAAGCCAUAUUUAGAUACCUCAAAUUAUAAUCGAACUAAGAUAAUUAGAUAUUAAUUAUAAAUUUAAUUUUGAUUAUAAUUUCAUUAUAUAUUUGUAUUACAUCACGACAACGUGGUUUACUUAUUGGCUAAGUUUUUAACCUAUCAAUACAUCUAAAAUCAAAACCGCAUCUAUAAAGCUUUUAGGGAGCUUCUUUAGAAGAUUUUAUGAAAUUAAUCUAUAUUUAUGUACUUCUAUCUAAUUAUAUAAGUAACUAUUGAGGCAAAUAUAUAUGUCCAUAACAUCCACUUAGAUAACCAUCCUAAGUUCUUUACAGAAGGAUCUAUAGUAGAUCCUACAUAGAUAAUUGCCUUAAUUCCUCUCUAAAAUGUUCCAUGGUGGAUCCUACAUAGUCCACUAACCUAACUCCAAUGCUAGAAAAUUACUAUAAACUUCUCAAAUAUAAUUCUAACUAUCUAUUUUCAUUUGUCAACAAUAGAAAUAUCUAAUUUAUAUCCUGUUACAAUCAUUGUCUUGUUCACUAAUAAAGUAAUUUUGAUAUAACAAUGAAGUAGUCACACCUUAUCACCUACAUUGAAUUGUGGUUGUUCCUUGCAUUAGGCAUCCACAUUGAUCUUUAGUUAUUGUUGAGUUUCUUUUAAUUGUGCCUUUAUUCUUACAUAUAAUUUUAAUAAAUAAUUUUCUAAAUCUUGUGCCAUAAGAAUAUCAACUUUUGAAAAGUCAAAAGUAUCAAAUUUUGGAUAAAAAUCAUAAUUUAUAAAAAAGAUAUUUAUUGACUAGAAGAAUGUAUCAAAUUAUUGUAUACAAACUCUACCAAUGGUAAAAGAGUUGUUCAAUCAUCUUGAUGAUAAUUGAUGGUACACCUCAAAUAUAGCUCUAAAACUUAAUUCAUCUAUUUUAUUUGCCUAUUUGUUUGAAGAUGAAAAGUUAAAAAAAGCUUUAUAUCUAUUUUUAAAAUCUUAAAAAAGAUUUUUUAAAAUCUUGAUAUAAAUUGAGUUUCUAUAUCUGAUAUAAUAUCUUUGAAUAAUCCAUAAUAGUAAUAGAUAUUAUUGACAAAAAACUUAGCCAAUUUUUUAUUUGCCAUAAAUUUUGUACAUGAUAUAAAAUGUGCCAUUUUGAUAAACAAUCUACUAUCAUGAAUAUAAAAUCAUAUAAACCUAAGAUUAAACUAUCAUUGAUAAAAUCUAUAGUAACAAAAGACCAUAGUUUUUUUGGAAUAGGUAAUAGCUGAAGAAGUCCAUAAAGUUGAUGAUGAGAAGUUUUGGAUCUUGAACAAAUAUCACAUAAUUAUACAAAGUCUUUCAUUGCCUUCUAUAUUUGAAACCACCAAAAAUAUUUUAAUAUUAGCUCUAAAAUCUUCUUGUAUCUAAAAUGUCUGACUACUAGAAAGUUAUGACAAGCUUGAAAAAUAUGCAAUUAUACUUUGUCUUUUAGAAUGUAUAAUCAUCUCUUGAAAUAGAAUAGAUUAUUUUUGAAUUUGAACUUUGAUGUAUCAUAAGACUUAAAAGAAUUAUUUUUCAUAUCAUGAAUAGGAGGAUCAAAAGAUAUUCUUGAUUGAAUUUGCUUGACAAUGGUUGAAUCAAUAAUCAAUGUUGAUUUUAUUGCUCAAAGAUGAAAAUGCUCUGGCUUUAAAAAAAACAUUCUUUGUUGAUCAAAAGUUUUACAUCCUUCUUUUAAUAUAAAAUAAAAAAAUCUAGAAAGAACAUGUGAUGAAUUAUGUUAUUUUUCAAAUCUAUAGGUGAACUUGAAAUCAAAAAUCUUAAUAAAGACAUACUCCAACAAACUUGGCAACGAUUUAAAAUAAGAGUCAACAUAAAAUAUUUGAGAUUCUUGUGAUUUGUAUAUAUAAGAACUAGAAUAGAAGCACAUUUUAAAUAAUGAUAUCAUUCUUAAAAUGAAUACACAAUUGCAACAAGCUCUUUGUCAUUUUUUUCAUAAUUAAUCUUAAUUGUUAAAAAACUUCUAGAAUAAAAAAGAAUUGAAUGGAACUUAUUAUUUGCUCUCAUUUGUGAUAAAACAAUAGCCAUAGCAAAGUUUGAUGCAUCUAUUUCAAUGAAAAAUACCUUAAAAAAAUCGAUGUGAUAUAAAAUUGGUGCAAAAAUAAAUAUUGACUUCAAGGCUUCAAAAGAUGUUUCUGCUUCUUUAUUCUACUGAAUAUUGUCUUUACAUGUCAAACAUAUAAAAAGAGCCACAACUUGAGAAAAGUUCUUGAUGAAUAUUUCAUAAUAAUUGGUAAAUUUUAAAAAAUAUUACACAUCUUUGAUUAUUUUUUGAGUCCUUCUAAUUCAUGAUAGUCUAGACCUUCUUAGGAUCCAUCAUUAGUCUUUUAUUAAAAAUGAUGUAUCUUAAGAAAUCAACUUGAUUAGUGUAGAAUAUAUACUUUUUUAUUUUUGUAUAUAAUCUUGUAUUUCUGAGUUUUUGUAAUACACAAUAAAUAUAAAGUUCAUAUUCUUUUAUAUUCUUAGACUAGAUUAGAAUGUUGUCUAAAAAAUAGACAACAAAAAUAUCAAGAAGCUCAAAAUAGACAUUAUUUUAGAAAUAUUGAAAAUUAAUUGCUAUAUUUGUGAUUUCAAAAGCCAUGACAUUAUAUUAAAAAUAUCCAUAUAUAAUUUAAAAAGUAGUCUUCUAUUUAUCUCCUUUCUUAAUGUAGAUUAGAUUGUAUGCUCUAUAUAGAUUUAUUUUUGUAUAGAUCUUUGCUUGGUUGAGUUGAUUAAGAAGUCUUUGAAUCCAAGAUAAGAGAUACCUAUUUUUGAUGGUGAUCUUAUUAAAUCCUUGAUAGUCUACUUACAUCUACAAAGAUCCAUCUUUUUUUCUUGACAAAUAAGAUAGGAGUUUGUACUAGAGAUUUUGAGUGGCAUAUGAAGUUCUUAGCCAAGUUCUUGUUAAUGUAUUCUUUUAGUAUAAUCAAUUUAUUUUGCAAUAAGUUAUAGAUUAGUCUAAAUGGUAGUUGAGCUCCUUAUUAUAGAUUAAUUAUACACUCAUAAGUUCAAUGUUUGAAAAGAAUAUCUGCAUUCUUUUUUUCAAAAAUGUCUUAGACAUCUUAAUAUUAGCUAAGAAUACUACUUGAUAUCUUUUUAUGACCAAAAAUAGCUAUAGCAUAUAUAGCAAAAGAUGGCCUUUUUUUUGCUGAAUGCAUGAAAGCUCUUGCAUCUACUAGUAAGGAUUUGAAUAUAUUAAGCUUAUCUAUUUCUACAUUACUAUUAAAAUUUUAGAUUAAACUAUAAGAAAAAUUAAGAUUACAAGAAAUCCAACCUAUUUUAAAAUUAUAUUUUUUUAACCAUAAUAAUCUAAAAAUAAUUAGAUUGGAGGAAGAUCUUAUCAUAUUAAAUAUUAUUACACUAAUAUGAUCAUUAAUUGCUACAUCUAAAGAAAUAAUCUCAUGAAUAACAUCUCUAAAAGACAGCAAACAACUAUCUAUGACUUCUAAAUGUAUGAAUUUAAUUUUCUUGACUAAACAUAUUUCUUGUUUCUUGAGAAAGUCUUUGUCUAUAAAACAGACUAAUGCACUUGAAUCUAAUAAUUUAAAGAUUUUAUGAUUUUUAGGUCCUAAACAUAUAUCUAUUACAAAAUAAGGUACUAAAUCUAAAAAUAAAAUAAGAUCUUUAUCAUGUAUUGCAUAUGAUUUUAGCCACACAACCUCCAUUAUAGUUGAAAAAACUUAUUUUUUAACACAUUAUUUCUUUUAUUAAUUGUACUCCUCAUUUUGUAAUUAUGUUGCUUCUUUGAGCAAUAUUGAGUAAUAUACUUAGCUUCUCAAUAAUAAAAGCAUAAGUCUCUUCUUGCUUAGUAAGAAAUUUAAAAUAUACUAUAUUAAUUUGUAUUAGUUCUGUCAGGGAUAUGAAUCUCAAAGAAAGAUAAUCCUUGAUACACUCUUGUAUCACUGUAGAGAACGAGAAAUUCACUCAAAAGAUAAUGUAAUAUUAACAAAUAGCUAUUGCCAAAAAUAAAAGGACUAGAAAGUCUUGAAAUAAGACUAAGGACUGGAACGGCAUUGAUAAGAGUGAAGAAGGCUUCACUCUUGCCUCCAUAUAUAUUCUUAACUAAGAGCUAUAUAGCGAUGUCAUAUAAGACCUUCAAAACAUGUUAACUUUGCCAGUCACAUGUCUUAAUUUGUAAGGCAAAUUAUCUAUAUAUGUGUCAUAAGGUGAGUUUGUUCCACAAGCUAUUAUUCAAAGAUAACUUAUUCUACAAGCUACCAAUAUGUGGUUAACUUAUUGGCCAAAUUUUUGACCUAGAAAUACAUCUAAAAUCAAAACCGCAUCUAUAAAGCUUCUUGGAAGCUUCACUAAAAGACUUUAUGAAAUUAAUGUAUAUUUAUUUAUUUCUACCUAAUCAUAUAAGUAAUUAUAGAAAUAAAUAUAUAUGUCCAUGACAUUAUCUUCCUUUCUAGAUAUAAGUUUCAUAAAAAGUGGUCUUCAUAUGUUGAAGAAGUCCAAGAUGCGACAAAUUAUAUUUGUCACAUACUCCAAUCUUUGCUCUCUUUGAAGAUGGUUGAUAGGCCUUGUCAACCAUUGAUAGUGUCCCAUACCAAGGCAAGAUGACCAUCGUAUUAUUUGGUUGUUGUUGAGGCCUUUGUAACGUCUUUCAAAUAAAACAUUUGGAAUACCGUUAGGAGUUGUUCCUACCUCUAAUAAAAUCAUCAAACAACAGGAAUCUCUUCUAAGGUCGUGAUACCAAAUACGUUGUCGUGUUGUGAUUCGGCUAUUAUAUGAAAAUAAUGUAAUUAUGUACUUAAUAUAUAAUUUAUUAAGUAACAUAGUAAGAGCUAUGUUAGUCGAUUUUAGUUGGUUGUAGAUUAUAAUUUGGUUAUUAUCCUGAGAAGAGGUUAUUUAAAAAGACUACUAUAGAAUUUGUAUAAAUUUAAUUUCUUUUUUGAUAAUGGCUUUUAAGAUUGGUUUAGUUCAUAGCAACUUCUAAAUAUUUAGAGUUACCUUUGUUAGACAUUGGUGACCUUUGAAAACUUCUUUUGGUUCUUUUAUUUGGUGUUUAGAGCAUAAAUUAUAUAAAUCUUAUAAAAAAAAGGAUUAAAGAAGGAUUUUGGUAGCAAAGGGAGUAAUUAGGGCACCAAUGUAGAUGAAUGGAGAUGAAUGAUGAAAAUCUCCAUUCCUAUUGGUCAAAAAUCAUGACCAAUGGGCUUUGAGGAGGCUGCCCGAGGCCAUAUUAAGGAUUAGGGUUAGUUUCUCGGGGCCAUUCGAGUUUUUAAGACUAAGGUGAGAAGGUUUAGGUUUUUGGCUAUGGUUUUGGUGCAAGUUUUGUAUCAUUUGGGGCUUUUAUGAAGAAGUUAUAGGAGCUCAAAGUUAAGGUGUUAGUUUUGGACCUACUAUCACUCUUUUUGGCAUAACGCACGCAUACGGACAACAAUUGAGGAUCGGCAACCGCGACUAGAAAGAGCACUUUUUUGGCUACUCUUUUUACAUUCUGCUUAUUGGAUUCCAAGUUGGAAUGAAGGAGUUAUUGGAUUUUGAAGUCAGCACAUGCAAUCUAAGGGUAGUAAGUAACCUGAUUUACUAGUGGUUGUCUCUUGAGCUAUAUCUUAAGCAAUUUGACAAGGUUUUGGCUCAAAAUUUCUAAGAUUGUGUAUAAUCUUGUUAUAAAGCUUUCUACAUAAGUUUUGUGGGAUUUGGAGUUUGGAUUUUUGAGAUAUAAGAAAAAUAGUUUUUCGGGUGCUUGUAAAUUAGGGAUUAGAGUACCUGCUAGGGUUUCUAGAUGCCAAAAGAUUGGGAGUGAAUUUGCAGUUGGUUUUUUUUUGUAGUAAAAUUUAAGGGUGAAUUCUACCUAUCAUGUAAAUUUGAGAUAAAUCGAACAAUUAGAUCAAUAGUUAUGAUUUUCUAAAGUUCAAGGCAAGAAAACCCUUUGCGGAAAAAAUAUGUUUUGUAGAGAUUUUGUUAUAUUUAGAGUUUUAUACAAAAAUAAAGGAGUUUUGGAAGCUAAGACAAGAAUCAUAUAAAGGUUUAAGCUACACUCUCUAUAGCUAGAUACCCAAUAUAUUCUUAGAUAGCAAAUCAUGUCAUACGACAACGUUGUAUCUUGCCAUCUAUUUGAGGAAAGACAUGUCGUUAUUGAGGAUCUUCAUCUCUAUUUUGUUGUCUUGAAGGUUGUGACAAUCGCAAUGUCUCAUCUGGUAAAUCCACAAAUGAAAGCUCUUGAGUUCAAUCUAUUGGUUGUUGGUUCUCUAUCUCCUUGGUGUCAUAAAUAUACACAAGCUACAAAAAAAAAUAGAAGAUAGAAUGUUAUCUUCUUUUGAUCUUAUUUCUUUUACAGCAAAGAUUUUUUAUUCUUCAUUUUAAUUUUGAUGGAUUUUUUUGAUUAAAAGCUUCAACUUUCUUUGCUACAUUUGCAAGAUUCUGUGACAACUUCCAUGUGCAUUCAUUAAUAUCAUAUCCGCACCAAUGAAUAAGAUAUUUCAAUCUAUUUUGGGAUUGCCUUGAAUCUAAGACUUCUUCUAUCUUGAACUCUUAAUUAUUAUUGACUUUUAUAGAAGAAGGUGGCAUUUUUCUUCUUUCUAAAAUAUUCGCUAUCUUAUACAGUUCAAAAAGAGACAUGUCAAAUACAAGGUGGAUCUUCAUAGACUCUUGUAGAUAUAAUUGAUAAGCAAUAAGAUUGAUUUAUUCAAAAAUAGAAAAAGAUUUCAGUCUAAAAAUUAAUAGUUUAAUUUUUUACAUGUAUAAGUAGUCUUGAUAUAGCAACAAAGUAACCAUACCUUAUCACCUAUGUUGAAUUGUGGUUGCUCCUUGCGAUAGGCAUAUACAUUGGUCUUUUGUCGUCCUAGAGCUUCUUUUAAUUGUAUCUUCAUUGUUACAUGUAGAUUUGACAAAUAAUUUACUAAAUCUUUUGUUGUAGGAUUAUCAACUUUAAAAAAGCCAAAAAUAUUAAGUCAUAGAUGAUAAUCAUAUUAGCAAAGAAAGGUAUUUGUUGAAUAGAAGAAUGUAUCAAAUUAUUGUACGCAAACUCUGCUAAUGGUAAAAGAGCUGUUCAAUCAUCUUAAUGAUAGUUGAUUGUACACCUCAAAUACUAUUCCAAAAUUUGAUUCACUCGUUUCGUUUGUCCAUCUAUUUGAAGAUGAAAAGUUGAAGAAAGCUUUAUAUCCACUUUUAGAAUCUUGAUACAAAUUGAGUCCCUCUAUCCAAUAUAAUAUCCUUUGGUAAUCCACAAUAGUAAAAGAUAUUAUCAAUGAAAAAUUUAGCUGUUUCUUUACUUGAAAUAGAUUUUGUACAAAAUCUAAAAUGUGCCAUUUUAGUGAAGCAAUCUAUAAUUACGAAUAUAGAAUCAUGUGAACUUGAGAUGGAAAGAUUUGUGAUAAAAUCCAUAGAAACAAAAGACCAUGGUUGUUUUAGAAUAGGUAAUAGUUGAAGCAAUCCAUAAGAUUGAUUGAGAAGAGUUUUGGAUAUAGAACAAGUAUUGUAUAAUUGUACAAAGUCUUUGACUGCCUUCUACAUUUGAGGCCCCCAAGAAUCUCUUGAUAUUAGCUCCAAAGUCUUAUUGUAUUCAAAAUAUCCAGCUACUGAAAAAUCAUGAUGAGCUUGAAGGACACGUUGUUGUGAUGUAACACGACUAAUAAGUGAAAGAGUGUGGAAAUUAUUAUAAUAUAGAUCUUAGUUCAAAGUAUUAGAGAAAAUUAUCUUAGAAAUAUAGUUAAUAGUCAAAAGGGUAGUAAAACUAAAAGGUACCAAUGCUGCCUUUUUAAAAAGGUGACUUCUACUUAUUUUGUAGGACCAUAAAUAAAGCAAAACAAAAUAGAUUGGAAAAAUAAAUGAUAUAGGCAUCUUUAGAAGGCAAUUGAGAAUAAAUUCUAGCAAAAUUUACUUAGAAAAACUAGAUAUUGAUACCCAAAGAGAGCCGAUUAUGAACUAGGAUUGAAAUCAGACCUCGAGGCACGAAACCGAGUAUUGACAAUGACUCUAAGAUUCUUUUGUAGAUUAGAGAGGGGUUUGAUAGCAAACUAGAUUGGAUUUCUAUGAACAUUGGUUUUGGGUGAUUUGGAGUUGUUAUGUUUUUGUAAAAGCUUUACAAAGUGAAGAUUGUUUUUGGAUGACUAAGGUUUUGUGAAAUAAAAUAAGGUUGAUGUUUCUAGUGAUUUCAAGAGUUCUAUAAUAGAUCUAUGGAUAAAAUCUUAUAGGAGAAUAGUCAUAGUUGUGUUUAAUAUGUGUUGUAAAUCUUAGCUUGAUCUAACGGUUGAAUUAAGGAUUAUUGAGGUUUAAGGAGGUCAAGAUCUUAGAAAGUAGAAUUUUAGGUCUAGUGAGAGUUUUUAAGAUUUCUUGCAAUCUACUAGUUGAAUUGGAGUAAAAUUUUUGUGAAUGAAUAUCAAACUUGUUUUUCUAUGCGUAUAAGAAUUUUAAAAUCAAUUAAACAAUGAAAAAGAGAGAUAUUGGUUCUGGAAGAUUGGCAUCAAGGUCAGAGAAGGAGGCCAACCAAUAUCCAAGCACGUUUUCGAGGCUAUUGUCUAUUUGGUAAUUCCGAUCAUUUUUAAAUUUUUUUGUACUUAUUGUCAACUUAAUUUUUAAAAAGUAUGCAAAUUUUGAGUUAAGAUCAAUGAUUCAUUCAUUAAUAAUUGAAGUAAAAAUCUAUUAUAGGAAUUAUUAGAGUUUGAUUUAGGAUUUAGGAUUUGGUUUAGGAUUUAGUGAGGAUUUGAUUUAGGAUUAGGAUUUGGUUAGGAUUUGACUUAGAAUUAGGAUUAGGAUUUGGUUAGGAUUUGAUUUAGAAUUAGGAUUUGAUUUAAGAUUUAGGAUUUGGUUAGGAUUUGAUUUAGGAUUAGGACUUGAUUUAGGAUUUAGAGUUUGGUGAAGGUUUGAUUUAGGAUUGAGAUUUGAUUAGGAUUUGGUUCAAGGUUUAGGAUUUGGUUAGGAUUUGAUUUAGGAUUAUGAUUUGAUUAAGAUUUGAUUUAGAAUUUAAGAUUUGAUUUAGGAUUAUGAUUUGAUUAAGAUUUCAUUUAGAAUUUAAGAUUUGAUUUAGGAUUGGUUAAGAUUUGAUUUAGGAUUUAGAGUUUGGUUAAGGUUUGAUUUACGAUUUAGGGUUUGGUUUAGGAUUUGAAUCUAAAAGGUAUGACAUUAUAUUCAAAAUAUCUAUAAAUAAUUUAAAAAGUAGUCUUGAAUUUAUCUCUUUCUUUGAAACGAACUAAGUUGUAUGCUCUUCAUAGAUCUAUUUUGAUAUAAAUCUUUGCUUGAUUGAGUUGAUCAAGAAGUUCUAAAAUCAAAGGCAAAGGAUACCUGUUCUUGACGGUGAUCUUAUUGAAUCCUCAAUAAUCUACAUACAUUUAUAGAGAUCCAUCUUUCUUCUUCAUUAAUAAAAUAGGAGAUCCGGUUGGAGAUUUAGAAUGGCAUAUGAAGUUCUUUACUAAGUUCUCAUCAAUGCACUCCUUUAAUGCUACUAGUUCAUUCUGCUAUAAGCUAUAGAAUAGUCUGAAUGGUGGUUAAGUUCAUUCUUGUAAAUCAAUUGAACAAUCAUAAGGUUAAUGUUCUAAAAGAAUAAUUACAUUCUCCUUUUCAAAAAUAUCUUGGAAUUCUUCAUAUUGAUUAGGAAUACUACUUGAUGUUUUUUUACCAUCAGAAAUAGGCAUAACAUAUAUAGCAAAAGAUGAUACUUCUUUUAGAGCAUGCAUGAAAGCUCUCGCACCUAUCAGUAAAGGUUUGGAAGUACUAGACUUUUUUAUUUCUACUUCAUUAACUUGAUCUUUGAUUAUAAUACCAAAAAAAUUAAAGUUAUGAGAAAUCUAAUCUAUUUAAGGAUUAUAUUUUUUUAGCCACGAUAAUUCUAAAAUAAUUAAAUUAGAGAGAGAUCUUAUUAUAUUAAAUACUACUAUAUUAUUAUGAUCUUUAAUUAUUAUAGCUAAAAGAACAAUCUCAUGGAUAGCAUUUCCAAAAGACAAAGAACAACUAUCUAAGACUUCUACAUGUACAAAUUUAGUUUUCUUGACUAAAGUUUUUUUUUUUUUUUUUUUUUUUUUUUUUGAUGAAAUCUUUGUUUAUAAAAUAAGUUGAGGCUCUUGAAUCUAAUAAGAUAAGGACUUUGUGAUUUUUAGGUCCUAAAUGUAUUGAAGUAAAAGUGAAAGUAAAAUAAGUUAUUUUGUAGAAGAUAUUACCUCAGAUAAAUUGCUAAUAGUCAAAGAAUUGACUCUUGGUGUAUAGAAAGGGCAUCUUAUAGAUAUAGGAUGAGGUCAAGGACUAAGAGUCAAAAACAAGAGGAUAAAAAAUGAACUAAAGAAUAUCUAAAGACUAAGUAAGAAUAAUAAGUAUUUGAAUUAGGAUUCCUUUGUAGUUAGUAAGAUGUCAAAGGAUCCAAGGACCAUAAGAUAUCCUCGAGGUACAUUAGAUACCAAAGGAUCCUAGGACCUAAAAUCAUAUGUAUAAAAGUCAAAGAGUGGAAGUUGUCUUGUAAGGUAGCAACCACAACCUAUAAGUACUGGAUGUUGGAAGUGAAAAAUAUCGUACUCCAUACUGUCUUUGUGUUCAACCUUGCUGAUACUAUAUGUUAUGACUAUAAAGUUCUAUUUCUUUAGUAGGUUAUGGAUCCACUCACCUUUAGUUGUGAAUUUUGAAGUUCUUUGAAAUUUUUUUGUUAUUAUGAGGAGUAGAUCUUAUGGUUGUUGUUGAUGUUAGAAUUUGGUAUCUUCUAAAUCUCCUUUUGCAUCUAAUUGUUGAUGUAGUUACGUUCUUAUUUUUUGUUAAGUGCAUUCAUGGUCUUUAAGAUUAUUAUACACUUUAGAAUGUUGUUUUAGAACACUAGUGGUGUAUUUCUUUGCUGACCUACUUCAUUGAUAUAUUAACAUUGAACUUUUAUAAGCUUAAGUUCUUAAUAGAUCUUCUUAUAGUCAAAAGAGGUGUUAUGAGACAUUAGAGGUGAUAAAAGAGUGGAAAAGCUUGUAAGAGAGGUUUUGAUAGUGUAUGAGACUUAUAAAAAAUCUUAUAAGUGAAUUUGAAAGUGAUCAAAGAGUAAAAACACUAAUUUAUUUACAAAGAAGGCAUUUUGGGAUUAUAAGGCAGUAACAUCUUUUUGUUGAUUUUAAGAGUUAUAUCUUCUCUUAUCUUGAUUUUUUUUUAUACAUCCGUUCUUUAGACAUGGCUUUAAGUGAGGGUGAAGAUUUGAGAGUCAUUGAGAAGUUUAGAGGUGACAACUUCUACCAUUGGAAGAAGAAAAUGGAGUUUUUGUUGGCUUCAUUGGACCUUUGGGACAUUGUUGAUGAAAGUGAAGAGCCUUCUAGUGAUAAUGCUGAUGUCAAGGUGAAGAAGGAGUACAAACUACAUGAAAGAAAGGCUUUUGACAUGAUUACAAGAAAUCUUGAUAAUGUCAAUUUUUCACAUGUAAUUGGUUGCAAUGGAUCAGCAAAAAUAUGGAAGACUCUUUGUAAUAUCUAUGAGAGUAAAAGCCUUGCUAAUAUUCUAUGGAUAAGGAGGAAGUUCUUAAUGGUAAAGAUGGAAGAAGGAGUUAACUUCAUGGUUCAUGUUAAUAAGGUAAAAGUACUUGCAAACCAACUAGCAGUUGUUGACACACCAUUUAAUGAUAGAGAAAUUGUGUUGACAUUACUCAUGAGUCUUCUCAAGUCCUAUAACUACCUCAUUGUGGCAUUGGAGUCUAUCAACAUGAAAGAGUUGACCAUGAAUUAUGUCACAUCAAGACUUGCACAUGAAGUAUUGAAGAAGAAAAAAAAAGAGCUUCAAAGUGAUGAUUCGAUUCUAUUCUCAAGACAAGGCAAAGGUAGCUUUCUACACUAACAUGAUAAUUUAAAAAAUAACAUAAGAAAUCAUUAUAUUUGUAAAAAACCAAGUUAUUUUUCUAAAAAUUGCUACAAGGACAAGAAAAGAAAAAGAAAAAAUACAAAUAAUGCUAGUGAUAGUUUUGGUGGAGAUGAUUAUCCUUUCAUGGCAAGUGAAGGAGCCUCUAUUGCUGCCAUGUCUAAGUAGAUUAUAGAUUUAGGUAUCACUAAACACAUGACACCAUAAAAGUGUUCAUUUGAUACUUAUGAAGUAAUUCUAGCAACAAAAGUAUAGUUGGGAGAUAAUAGCAUGGUGCAAGCGAUUGGAAUUGGCUCCAUUGUAGUAGAGAUUGUCUUCUUCCACCUUUCCAUUCAAAAAAGCCAUCUUUACAUUCCUAGAUUUGAUUGUAAGGUCGAUUUACUUACUUCCUUUAAUUAUACAACUUCUUGCCAUAGACUCUGAACUUCUUGCACAUGUGUAGACAUAGUACUUCCAUGACUUAUAUUAGAAAUAUAUGAGAUUUCUAUUCUAAGAAUUUUGACAAGCUCAUGAAGAUCUACAAUACUUGUAAAUCUAUUUUCACUUCUACUUGGUAUAAAAUCUAUAAUCUUUUCUCCCAUAGAUAAUUCAAACAAAUCCAAAAAGUUAAAUUAGAAGAAGAUAAUCUACAAUCUUUAAUAAAAAUUUCUACAAAGAGGAGUAAUCCACUUUCUUUAAGAAAAGAUCAGUAUUAGAAAAUAAGAUUUUUUUGUUUAAAAGGUGGAUAGUCUGCAACCUUCAAAAUAUAAGAAUAGAAGUGUAAUAAUUCAUUGACUUCUAUAAUAAGAUAAAAAUAUUAUGUUAGAACUCUUAUCAAAUUUUCAAGGAUAUGAAUCUCAAAAAAAAAAAAUCCUCAAUACACUCCUGUAUCAUUAAAGAAAACUAAAAAGUCACUCAAAAGAUAAUAUAAUAUUAAUUAAAAUGGCUAUUUCUAAAAAUAAGAAGAUUAGAGAGUCUUGAAAUAAGACUAAGGACUAGAACGGCAUUGAUAAGAGUGAAGAAGGCUUCACUUUUGCUUCCAUAUAUACUCUUAACUAGAAGCUACGUGGCAUUGUCCUAUAAGACCUCCAAAACAUGUUGACUUUGCUAGCUACAUGUCUUAAUUUACAAGGCAAGUUAUCUACGUAUGCACCACAUGAUUAACUUGUUCUACAAGUUAUUAUAUAGAGUUAACUUGUUCCACAAGCUACUAAGAUGUGGUUAACUUAUUGCCUAAGUUUCUGACCGAGAAACACAUCUAAAGUCAAAACCGCAUCUACGUAGCUUUUAAGAAGCUUCACUAAAAGACUUUAUGAAAUUAAUCUAUAUUUAUCUAUUUCUACCUAAUAAAUUAAGUAAUUAUUAAAGUAAAUAUAUAUAUAUAUAUAUAUAUAUAUAUAUAUCUAUGACAGAUGUACAUAUAAAAAACUUGCCUUGCAAUUUAAGAUAUAUAUCUUCCAAGGUCAAUAUGUUUUAGAGCUUUAAUAGGACAUUGCCUUGUCGCUUCUAAUUAGGAAUAUAAAUAGAGAUAAGAGUGAAGCCUUCUCUACUCUUGUUAAUACCUUUCUAGUUCUUAGUCUUAUUUUAAGAUUUUCUAGUCUUCUUAUUUUUGAAAAUAACCAUUCUAAUUCAAUAUUAUAUCAUCUUUGAGUGACUUUUUAGUUCUUUUGAAUGAUACAAGAGUAUAUUGAGGAUUUUUUCUUUGAGAUUUAUGUCCUUGAUAAUUUGACAAGAACUAACUUACUGUUCUUCUCUUUUUUAGAAAUCAAUGGAUUAUCUUAUUUUUAUUAUUAUAUUUUGAAGGUUACAAAUUACAUCAUGGAUAUAUACAUAUAAACUAAUAAUUAUCUAUAUAAUGAGAUAAAAAUAAGCAAAAGUAGAUUAAUUCCAUUAUAUCUUCUACAAAAACUUUUUAGAAGCUUCAUAGACACUAUUUUGACUUUAUAGGUGUCUAUAAUUGAUUUUUUAGGUUAAAAAUGUGGUCAAAAAAUUAGUCAUGUGCCACACAUAUUGAUAGCUUAAAGAACAAGAAAUUUUUAUGGCACACAUAUAGAAAACUUUCUUGGUAAGCUAACGCAUGAUUUAUGCAAAGUCAAUACAUAUUAGAAGUCCUAUAGAACAUUACUACAUAGCUUCUAAUUAAAUAAUUUAUAUAGAGGCAAGAGUGUAGCCUUCUUCACUCUUAUCAACUCCUUUCUUACUUCUAGUCUAGAUUCAAGAGUCUUUAGUUUUUUUGUCUUUUGGAAAUAGCCAUUUUAGUUUCUUUUUAAUAUACAUACUUCUUUAUUUUUAUUUUAUUAUAUUCAUUUAUUUACUUUCAUGAAGUUCUUAACCUUGACAGAUUAACAAGAGUAUACUUAUAAUAUCAAAGUCUUGUCUUUUUUUAAUUAAGUGUGGAUUAUUUUUUUUCUUGAUAAGACAUAAGCAUAUUAGAAGUUAUAGAUUAUCCUCUUUUAAACUGAUAUUUUUCUUAGUAUCUUCUUCAAUGUCUAGUUCUCUCUUCUAUAGGACUUAAGUAAAAUUAGAUGUAUUUUUUUUUCUAAGUAUUAUCAUGACAAAGCUUUUUGAAAUGAAGAGUAUAAUAACAUAAAUACAAGAGUAGUUGAAAAAAUUAAUGCUUGUAAUUCAUCAACUCAGUUUAUUACGAAAAUCAAUAAUAAGAAUGGCAUAAAGUGAAGAUAUAGAUUUGAUUAGAAUUGCUUCAAUAUCUAUACCAAAUUAUGUCCCUUCUCUUAUGAUAGAACAUCCUUCUAAUAUUAGAAAACCAAGAGUUGCCCUGCUUGAAAAGUUUGAUGGCACUAGAUCUAAAUUUUGAGGAUUUAUCAAUCAAGUAUAACUUUUGAUUGUACUUCAAGUCCAAAUCUAUCCAACUUUAAGAUCAGAAGUUAGAUUCAUUGAUAUACUUCUUUCAAAUUCAAUAUUAUCAUAAUUUUCAUCUUUUUUUGAACGAUGAGAUCUAAUAUUGAAUAAUUUAGAGGCUUUUUUGGAGAAGUUUUGAUCCAUGUAUAGAAAACAUGAUGUAACUAGUAUUGCAACCAACAAGAUCCAUAUUUUGCAAUAAAGCAAUCAAUUCAUAAUAUUAUAUGCUUCACAAUUUUGACAACGUGCAACUGAUAUCAAAUGAAAUAAUGUUGUACUUAUUAGCCAAUUUUUCUAUGGAUUAUAAUAUGAGAUAAAAAAAUUGAUGCUCAACUUAUUUAAUCCUCAAACAGUUGUCAAGCAUUUGACUUUGCUAUGAAGUAUAAUAAUCAACUUUUUGAAUUUUGAUCUAAGAGUCAGACAAGUGGACCUCAACGUUACUAUCAUUCAAUGGCAAUAUCAAUAUCUUUUCAAUACAUACAUUCAAAAUUAGAAGAUAUAUAAAUUGAUAUGAUAUGUUUCAAACCACUUAUUAAGCAAGAAAAGUUUUUUUGCCAUCAGAAAAGAUUGUGCUUAUAUUAUGGAGAACCUAAGUACAUUGCUCAAUAUUUUCUAAAGAAAUGAUAUAAUUAUAAAAUGAGGAGUAGAAAUAUCUAAGAUAAUAUAUUAAAAAAUAAGUUUUUCUAGCUACAAUAAGAACCAUGCCACUAGAACCUUAUACAAAUGAAGGUCCUAUUUUUUCCUCAAAAUCCUCUCCUUAUUUUACACUAAAUAUUAUUUUAUGACCUAAAUAUUAUAAAGCCUUUGUCUUGUUAGAUGCAAGAGCCAUAACAUAUUUUUUAGAUGAAGAAUUUAUUAAAAGACUUAGUAUAUCUUUAAUGAGGAAAACUAAACCCAUUCAUGUAGAAAUUAUAGAUGGUCGUCCAUUGUCUUUUGGAGAUGAUACUCAUGAAACCUCUCCUAUAGAAGUAAUUACUAAUGGUCAUAAUAGCUUUGUGAUAUUUAAUAUCAUUAGAUCUCUCUCUAAUCUAAUGAUUUUAGGCUUAUUGUGGUUAAAAAAAUACAACCCUCAAGUAGAUUAGAUUUUUGGUACUGUCAACUUUUUUAAGAAUAUAACUAAGAGUAUAGUUAAUGAAGUAAAAAAUCACAAAUCUAGUACAUUUAAACCUAUGUUUGUAAGUGCAAGAGCCUUCUUACAUGCUGCAAAAGAGGGAUCAUCUUAUGUCAUUUAUGCUACACCUAUUUCUAAUGAUACAAAGACUUCAAGUAGUAUUCUAAGCAAAUAUGAAGAAUUUCAAGAUGUAUUUGAAAACAAUAUGAAUAUGUUUCUUAAACAUUGUUCCUAUGACUGUUCAAUUGACCUUCAAGAAAAAAUACAACCACUAUUUGAAUCAAUUUAUAAUUUUUCACAAAAUGAGUUGGCUAAACUCAAUGAAUAUAUUAAAAAAAAUCUAGCAAAGAACUUCAUACACUAUUCCAAAUCUCUAAUAUGAGCUCCAAUUCUAUUUAUGAAGAAAAAAAAUAUAUCAUUACAAAUAUGUAUUCAUUAUCAAUAACUCCACAAGAUCACUAUCAAGAACAGGUAUCCAUUACCUUUAAUAUUUGGACUUCUUAAUCAAUUAAAUCAAGCCAAGAUCUAUACAAAAAUAGAUCUAUAAAGAGCAUACAAUCUGAUAUGCAUCAAAAAAGGAGAUAGAUGGAAGACUAUAUUUUGAACCAAAUAUGAAAAUUUUGAAUAUAAUAUCAUAUCUCUUUUGGACUUAUAAAUAUACCAAAAAAAUUUCAACAUCUUAUAAAUAAUAUUUUUUAAGAAUUUUAGGACGAUUUUGUUAUCUAUUAUCUAAAUAAUAUCUUAAUUUAUUCUAAGAAUAUAAAAGAAUAUGAAUUUCAUGUUCGUUAUGUGUUACAAAAAUUAAGAGAUUUCAGAUUCUUUGUUAAGAUAGAAAAGUGUGUAUUCGACACUACUAAAGUUGAUUUCUUAAGUUAUAUCAUUUCAAAUGAUGGACUUAUGAUGGAUCUUAAAAAAAUUCAAACUAUUAUGGAUUAAAAGAUAUCAAAAAUGAUACAAGAUGUCUAAUAUUUUUUGGAAUUUGCCAACUACUACUGAAUCUUCAUCAAGGACUUUUCUUGAAUUAUAGCUCUACUUAUACAUGUGACUUAUAAAGGCAAAUUUUAGUGGAAUCAAGAAGUACAAGUAGUAUUUGAAGCUUCAAAGACAGCCUUUAUUUGUAUACUAAUCUUAUUUUAUUUUGACUUUUAUAAGAUAUUUUUUAUAAAAAUAGAUACAUUUGACUUUUCUUGGAUGCUAUAUUAAUAUAAAUGAAAACGAAUAAUAAAAUCCACCUCAUAGCUUUUCAUUCUAAAAAAGUUUUAGUAGUCUAGAUUAACUAGGAGAUCUACAACAAAGAACUUCUUACAAUUAUGGAUUCUUUUCAAGAAUGGUGUCAUUAUUUAGAAGGAUUUUUCAAUCUAAUCAUUAUAUGUAUAGAUCAUAAGAAUUUCAAAUACUUCAUAUCAACAUGUAUUUUGAAUUGUCGCCAAGUCUGUAGAAGCAUGUCUUUAUCAAGAUUUAAUUUCAAAAUCACAUAUCGACUUGGAAAAUAAUAAGGUUUGUGAAACGCUUUGUCUAAAUAUUCUUAUCUUGCAUCAAAAGAAGGAGAUACAUCUUUUUAUUAACAAAGAACUAUUCUCUUGAAGCUCAAGUAUUUUCAUCUUCAAGUAAUGAAAUCAACAUUGGCUACUGAUUCAAACUUUGUCAAACAAAUUCAAUCAAGUAUGUCUUUUAAUCCUCUUGUUUAUGAUAUCAAGAAUCAUACUUUUAAGUCUCAUGAUGCUUCUAAAUUUGAAUUGAAAAACAACCUAGUCUAUUUCAAAUGAUGCCUAUAUGUUCUAAAAAGAGAAGCAUAUUUAUAUGUUCUUCAAGUACGCCACAAUUUUUCAAUAUUUGGAUAUUUUUGAUACAACAAGAUUUUAGAACUAAUAUCUAAAGCUUUUUGGUGGCUGCAAAUGUGAAAGGUGGUCAAAGCUUUUUUUUAAUCAUAUGAUGUUUGUUCAAGAUCAAAAACUCCCCGUCAUCGACUUUAUAAACUUCUUCAACCAUUACCUAUUCCAAAACAACCAUAGUCUUCUAUUUCUAUGGAUUCCAUUAUGGAUCUUUCAAUUCCAGAUUUAUAUGGUUUUAUAUUUGUGAUAGUAGAUUAUUUUACAAAGAUGGCAUAUUUUUUACCAUGUAUAAAAUUUAUCAGAGGUGAAGAAACAGUGAAGCUUUUCCUUGAUAAUAUCUAUCGCUAUCAUAGAUUGCCUAAGGAUAUUAUAUUAGAUUAGAAGACUCAAUUUAUAUCAAGAUUUUAAAAAAUCCUCUUUUAAAAUCUAAAGAUAGAUAUAAAACUAUCUUUAGCAUUUUAUAUUCAAAUAGAUGGAUAAAUAAAGUAUAUAAAUUAAGUUUUGGAAUAAUAUUUAAGGUCUACGAUUAAUUACCUAUAAGCUAAUUAAGAAACUCUUUUAUCAUUGGCAAAGUUUGUUUAUAAUAAUAUGAUACAUUUUUCUAUGCAAAAAUUAUCUUUCUUUGUUAAUUAUAAUUACUAUCCAUGACUUGAUAUUUUGACUUUUCAAAAGUUAAUAAUCAUGUUACGAGAGAUUUGACAAAUCAUUUGUUUGAGCUAUAUGCAACAAUGAAGGUGGAAUUAAAAGAAUCUCAAGAAUAACAAAAGAGUAACGCAGAUGCCUAUUAAAAAGAACAACCACAAUUUAAUGUAGGUUACAAGGUAUAAUUACUUCAUCGUAAUGUCAAGACUACUCGUCAUUGUGUUAAGUUGGACUAUUGCAGGCUUAGACCUUUUUCAUUGGUGUUGCAUUAAGUCUAGAACUUAGACCUUUUCUAUUAGCAAGAAUAUGAUAUUAAUGAAUAUACAUAUGAGCAAGCAAAGAAUCUUAUAAAAGCAACAAAGAUAGUAGAGGCUUUUCAUCAAUGACAUCCAUCAAAAUCAAAAUAAAAGAUAACAAACCUUUACUAUAAAUAAAAUACAAUUCAUGAAAAAAAUUAUUUUAUCUUUUAUCUUUGUUUGUAGUUUUUAUAUGAUUAUGGAGUUAAAGAGAUGAAGAAUCAACAAACGAUGGAUUCAAUUCAAGAGCCAUUAUUUAUUGAAUUAUCAAAAGAAAUGUUGUAAUUAUCACACCCUUCAAAGCAACAUAAUAAGAAUGAAGACCUUCAAGAACAACAUGUUCUUCUUCAAAUAGAUGACAAGAUACAACGUAUUUGAAAUCACAACCUUAGAAGGAACUUUCAAUGUUUGGUGAUUUUACUAGAAGUAGAAAAAAUUCUUGACAAUAUUCCAAAUAUAUUAUUUUAAGGAAGUCAUGAAGGCCUCAACAAUAAUAAAAUAAUUGGGUGGCCUUUCCACCUUGGUAUUAGACACUAUCAAUGGUUGAAAGGCCCUAUCAACCAUCUUUGAAGAAAACAAAGAUCAGAAUAUGUGACAAAUAUAAUUUGUUACAUCUUAGAUUUCUUCAACAUAUGAUGACCGCUUCUCAUAGAACUUAUCUCUAGAUGAGGAGAUAAUAUCAUGGACAUAUACAUGUAAAUCAAUAAUUACUUAUACAAUUAGAUAAAUGUAGGCAAAAAUAGGUUAGUUCUAUAAUAUCUUCUAUAUGAACUUAGAAGCUUCAUGGACAUUACUUUGACUUUAUAGGUAUCUAUAAUAGACUUUUUAGGUUAAAAAUAUGGUCAAAAAGUUGGCCAUGUACCACACAUGUUGGUAGCUUGAAGAACAAGCUAAUUAUAUGGAAUAUACAUAAAAAACUUGUCUUGUAAGUUAAAACAUGUGUCCUACAAAGUCAACAUAUAUAAGAGCUUCUAUAGAACAUCGCCACAUAGAUCCUAAUUAGAUAGUAUAUAUAGAGAAGCAAGAGUGAAGCCCUCUUCACUCUUAUCAACUCCUUUCUUGCUUUUGGUCUAAAUUCAAGAGUUUUUAAUUUCUUUGUCUUUUGGCAAUAGCCAUUCGAAUUUCUUUUAAUAUAUAUACUUCUUUAUUUUUAUUUUUUAUACUUUUUAUUUAUUUUUAUCAUAUUUUUAUUUGUAAUAACUAUCCACCUUUAAAAAUAAACAAUCUUAUUUCUUAAUAUUAAUUUUUUUCUUAAAUAAAGUGAAUUAUCCAUCUUUGUGAUAAAAUUUAUUUGAUAUUAAAGUUUACAAAUUAUUUUCUUCUAAUUUAAUAUUUUAAAUUUAUUUGAAUUAUUUAUGGAAGAAAAAAUUAUAGAUAUUAUUCUUAAUAGAAGUGAGAAUAGAUUUGUAACUAUUACAGAUCUACAUGUACUUGUCAAUAUUCUAAGAAUAGAUAUCUCAUAUAUUUCUAAUAUGAAUUAUAGAGAUACUGUUCCUAUACCUAUAGAAGAAGUUCAACAUCUGAAUUAAAAAGUUUUUUAAUUGAAAGAAGCAAGUAAAUUGAUCUCACAAUCGAAUCUAAGAAGUUUUACUUUUAUAUGUAUGAUAAGGAUAAGAAUUAGUAUGUCUGAGAAGUUUGAUGGAAUAAGAUCAAAAUUUUAAAGAUUUUUGUAACAAAUCAAGCUUUAUCUAAGGUUGUGUGAGUCAUCAGAUUGACUCACUAGUUGUUUUAGGACAAAAGAAUGCAUGUAAAGUGCCAAAAUUACAAUUAUUAGGUAAAGAUGUGCUUAGAAGAUGUUAAAGAAAGAAGAAUAGUAUUAGUGGAGAAGAAAUGGACUCUUAGUAAGUCUUGGAGGUAAUUAUUUUAGUUAGUUUAGUAUUUUUACUUAUUAUUGAGGAGUAAGGAUUAGUUACUAAAAUCAAUAUUCAUAUUGAUCUUAUAUCUAUAUAUAUUACUUAUACAAAAACUAUAAAUAUUAGUUAGUAAUUAAAAGAAGCAUGAGAAAGAACCUCAUGUCUUUUUAGUUAUUUACAUAAAAAGUAGAAUUUAUAGUAGAUUUAAAUUGAUUCUAUUACUCUAAAAAAUCAAUAAUAUAGGAAAUUAUAUCCUUAAAUUACUAUUAGCAUUAUAGAAACAUUAUAGGAAUUUUUAAAUUUUAUUUAGAAAUUAUUUAGAAAUUUUAGUAGAUUCAAAUUAUUUUUUAUCAGUAUAAAAAAUCUUCAAUGUAGGGAAUUAUAUCUUUAAAUGGAUAUUAGAAUUAUAGAAAUAUUAUAGGAAUUUUUCGAAUUUAUUUAGAAUUUAUUUGAAUUUUCUAUGAAUUUUUAGGGUAAUUUUUAAGACCUUGGUAAAAUUGAGUUUUAUCACUUGGGGAGCUAUUAUGAAGAAAUGGAGCAAGGUUUGAAGGCCAAAAAAUAUUUCUAGGCUAAUUGGGUGUUUUUAAACUCCUUGGUGAAAUAAAAAAUACAAAAUUAUUAAUUCUACUAGUAGAAAAUAGGUGGACUAGUAGCUAGUAUAGUCCUUGUAAGAAGGGAGGUGCACAAGUUCCAUAUGGGCUGUAGCACCUUGGAUGUAGGUAGGAAGAUAAGACUAAGGCCUCAAGGCCUCUUUAGGCAACCAAUAUACACUACAUGUGAGCCUUGGUGAGGCUCGAACCCUUGAUCUAUAAGCAAGUUACCCUUGAGGUAAAAUAUUUUCACUUCACUUUUUAAUUAUUUACUUCUUAUUUUUUAAACCUUCAUAACUUACUCAUAGUAAUUCGGAUUUAUAUGUUUCUUAAGUCACUGGAAAGAUAAUAAAAUUAUCUAUCCAAAAAUUUACUUUUUACUUUUAUUUUUACUCUUUACUAGAUGAAAAUACAGUAAACAGACUGUGACUUAGUUUUUGAUUGUGUACUUGCUUCAUGUCAUUCAUUUCAAUUGUUUCUUAGUUAAUCAUCUUUUUUUCUUGUUAAUUCCUUACUUUCCUUUAUACCAUCAAUUAAAAUCAACUCUUAAUUGAUGCCAUCUUAUAAUUGAGGUUGAAGAGUGAAACUUACACUCAUAAGUUGCAUCCCUUCUAAUACUCUAAUGGAUUUACUCAAGUCAAAUUCAUAGGCACACUUCUAUUAAAAAGUGUUCUCCCUUGGUUUGUACCUUUGAUGGAAAAAGAUUUAUAAUUCCUUUAUAAUUUGAAUUCAUUCUUAGAAAUUGUAGAAUAGAUAAAUAAAUUUUGUGGUAAGUUACUGGUUGGUUAUUGACAACCUUCAGAAUUAGACUUAUGGUUAGGCAAUUUAGUUAGUAACAGUAGGUUGUUAGUAGAACAAAUGAUUAAGAAUCCAAAGGGUCAUAACCUUUGGAAUCUAGUAGUCGACAGUCCAUCUUUUACUAGGAUAAAGAGGUUGAGAAAAGGGAGAUCGGAGCCAGACUGUGAGAGUCGUAAGUUGGGAUAAGCUUGGUGCUACUUCUUUGUUUUCUUUGCUUUUAUUAUUUUCUUAUGAAGAAUUGUGAUUGAAAAAAGUAUUGUUGAAACUUUGAUUAGAAUAUUAUAGAAUGUAACUUAUGACUGAUGUUUUGGAAAAAAUCUGUGAUCUUGAGAAUUUAGAUUAUCGAAUUGUAUUGUGUUAAGUGAAGAUAUUGAAUUCUGUGUGAUGAAUUGAAAAAUUGAAUAUAAUAGAUAAGUUGGAGAUCAGUAAUUGAAUAUAUAUAAACCGCAAAGAGAGUAAGUGGAAGAUGAACUAAUAAGAAUAUGGAAGUAUUAUUGAAUUGAUAUUCAUAGAAUGGAUUAUGUGUUGAAUUGAAAUGGAAGUAGUAAACCUUGGUGUUUUGUAGUUUGAUAAUUGAUUUCAGAUAGCUAAAGUACAGUCAAUUGUGACACUAACAGACCCACUUCAUACAACCAGUCUUUUCUCGUAUUCAAACCCACUUCUAUUAGUUCAAUUGCUUUGGUAUAUUGAAGCUUGAACACAACGAGAACAACAUUAUGGCACCGUUGCUAGAGAAAUGAUAAGAAUAUGAAAUGUUAGAAAUUAAUUUUAUGGAAGAUGGAAUUAUAUGUUGAACGAGAACAUGAGAAGAACCAGUUUUAGGGUUACAAAUAUGUGAGUUAUAAUUCAAGGUAGUAUAAAUUUUGUAAAGAAGAAUGAAAGAUUAUGAGUGAUAAUCAUGAAGCGAAGGAUUAUCAAAGAAUUAAUCGAUAAGCAAAAAAAAGACGGGAGUGAUUACGCAUAAGAAAUCUCCUACGGGAACAAAAAAAAAGAAUUGUAGGUCCAAUUAAAACCAAAGGAAGAAAAAUUCAAAUUCAAAUAGCAAAGAGACCAAUGAUAACAUCAAUGGCCGCAGAAGUGCCAAAAGUACCAAUUGCAGAACAAAUGAGAGCAGUAGGAGACUGAACUACAAGUGUGGCACUAUUACCUACUUUUAGUCAUUGGCCGAGCACUAAUCUCAAUUACUAUAUAUCUCAAUUCUUGAUAGCUUGUAUGGCUAAUAAUAGUAGAAUUGAAGACAAUUGAUUGAGAUGGUUGCCAACAACUUUAAUAGAUACAACUUUUGAAUGGUAUAUUCGGCAACCAAUGGAUAGAUUUACUAAUUGGAAGGCCUUGAAGAAUACUUGUCAAGAACAAAGACUCGAUGAGGGAAAAUAUACACAAAAAGGCUAUCUCGAUAUAAUAAAUCAAAAUAUAAACAAGUAUGUAUAUUAAAAAGAAACUGGAAUGGCUAUUGCCAAAAGACAAGAAACUAAAGACUCUUGAACCUAGACUAGGAGCAAGAAAGGAGUUGACAAGAGUGAAGAAGCCUUCACUCUUGUCUCUAUGUAUACUAUCUAACUAGGGGCUACAUAACGACGUUCUAUAGGACCUCCAAUAUGUGUUGACUUUGUAGGACACAUGCCUUGACUUACAAGGCAAGUUUUUCUAUGUGUGGGCCACAUAGUUAGCUUGAUCUUCAAGCUAACAACAUGUGUGGCACAUGGGUAACUUGUUGACCACGUUUUUAAUCCAAAAAAUCAAUUAAAGACAUCUAUGAAGUCAAAGCAGCAUCUAGGAAGUUUCUAGGAAGCUUCUAUAUUAAAUAUUAUAGAAUUAAUUUACUUUUAUCUACUUUUACUUACUUCUACCGAUUUCUAUAUGUAAUUAUUAGCUUACAUGAUUAUGGCUGUGACAUUACCCCCCCUUCUAGAGACGAGUUCCACGAGGAGCGGUCAUCAUAUAUUGAGGAAAUCUAUGAUGCGACGAAUUGUAUUAGCCACAUACUCUGAUCUCUGUUCUCUUUGAAGAUGAUUGAUAGGGCCUCUCAACCAUCGAUAGUGUCCCAUACCAGGGCGGAAAGACCACCCAGUUAUUUGAUCAUUGUUGAGGCCUUCGUAACUUUCUUCGAAUAGAAUAUUUAGAACACCAUCAGGAGUUGUUCUUACCUCUAGCAAAAUCACCAAACAUCGAGAGUCCCUUCCCAAAUCGUGAUACCAAACGCGUUGUAUCUCACCAUCUAUUCGAGGAAGAACAUGUCGUUCUUGAAGAUCUUCAUCUCGAUUGCGUCGUCUUGAAGGUUGUGACAAUCGUAAUGUCUCAUCCUACAAGUCAGCAAACGAAGGUUCUUGAGUUGAAUCCGCUAGUUGUUGGCUCUCCAUCUAAUUAGCAUCACAAAUGCAAAGAAGUUACAAACAAGGAUAGGAAAUUGAAUGUUAUCUUGCCUCAAUCUUGUCUCUUUUAUAAGAGAGAUUUUCAUCUUGAUUUUGAUGGAUGUCGUUGAUGAAAAACUUUGACUUUAGCUGAUGCAUUUGUUAGAUUCCUGGAUGGCUCCCAUGUGCAUUCACUAAUAUCAUAUCCGCGCCAAUGAACAAGAUAUUCCAGCUUAUUUCGGCGCCGCCUUGAGUCUAAUAUCUCUUCCACCUCAAAUUCUUCAUUAUUAUCUACUUCUAUAGGAGGCGGUGGCAUUUAUCUUCUUCCUUGUAUAUCCACUGUCUUAUAUGGUUCAAGAAGAGACACGUUGAAUACAGGAUGGAUCUUCAUUGACUCCGGUAGAUGUAACCAAUAUGCAACUGGGUUGAUCUGUUCAGAAACAAAAAAGGGACCAAGCCUACGAUAGUCCAACUUAUCACAAGGUCGAGUAGUCUUGAUAUUCUCAUGAAGUAGCCAUACCUUAUCACCCACGUUGAUUUGUGGUUGCUCCUUAUGAUAUAGAUCUGCGUUUAUCUUUUGUCGUUCUUGAGCUUCCUUCAAUUGCGUCUUCAUUAUUGUAUGUAACUCUGACAACCGAUUUGCCAUAUCUUCUGCUGCAGGAUUAUCAACUUUUGAAAAAUCAAAAAUAUCAAGUCGUAGAUGAUAGCCAUAAUUGGCAAAGAAAGGUGUUUGUUGCGUGGAAGAAUGUACCGUAUUAUUAUAAGCAAACUCUGCCAAUGGCAGAAGGGUUGUCCAAUCAUCUUGUUGGUAGUUGAUAGUACACCUUAAAUAUUGCUCCAAGACUAGGUUUACGUGCUUUGUUUGUCCAUCAGUUUGAGGAUGGAAAGCCGAAGAUAGCUUUAUGUCCACUUUUAAAAUCUUGAAAAGGGUCCUCCAAAAUCUUGACACAAAUUGAGUUCCCCUAUCCGAUAUGAUAUCUUUAGGUAAUCCAUGAUAGCGAUAGAUAUUAUCAAUGAAAAGCUUAGCUGUUUCUUCACUUGUGAUAGAUUUUGUACAUGGCACAAAAUGUGCCAUCUUGGUGAAACGAUCUACUAUCACAAAUAUAGAAUCAUAAGAUCUUGAGCUUGGAAGAUCUAUGAUGAAAUCCAUAGAAACAGAAGACCAUGGUUAUUCUGGUAUAGGUAAUGGCUGAAGAAGUCUGUAAGGUCGAUGACGAGGAAUUUUUGAUCUUGAACAAAUAUCACAUGAUUGUACAAAGUCUUUGACUGACUUCCACAUUUGUGGCCACCAAAAAUCUCUUGAUAUGAGUUCCAAAGUCUUAUUAUAUCCAAAGUGCCCUGCUGCUAGAAAGUCAUGACGUGCUUAAAGAACACGUAAACGUGCUUCUCCUUCUGGAACAUAUAGGCGUCCUUCAAAAUAUAAUAGAUUAUUCUUGAACUCGAACUUAGAAGGAUCAUGAGACUUGGAAGAAUUAUUCUCAAUAUCAUAAACAAGCAGGUCUGAGGACAUACUGGACUGGAUUUGCUUGAGAAAAGUUGAAUCAAUAGUCAAUGUUGAUUUCAUUGCUCGGAGAUGAAAUUGCUCCGGUUUCAAGAGGACCGUUCUUUGUUGCUCAAAAGCUGCAUUUCCUUCUUUUGGUGCAAAAUAAGAACGUGUAGAUAGGGCAUCAGAUAAACCUUGUUAUUUUCUUGGCCGAUAAGUGAUAAUGAACUCGAAUCUUGACAAAGACAUACUCCAACAAGCUUGACGACGAUUCAACACGCGUGCUGACAUGAAAUACUCGAGGUUCUUGUGAUCUGUAUACAUAGUGACUGGACUAGAAGCGCCUUCUAGAUAAUGACGCCAUUCUUGAAAGGAAUCCACGAUCGCAAGAAGUUCUUUAUCGUGGAUCUCAUAAUUGAUCUCGGCUGCUGAGAAUUUUCUUGAAUGAAAAGCUAUCGGAUGAAGUUUGUCAUCUAUUCCCAUUUGUGAUAAAACUGCACCCAAGGCAAAAUCUGAUGCAUCUGUUUCCAUAAAAAAUGCCUUGGAAAAGUCAACACGAUAUAAGACUGGUGCAGAGACAAACGAUGUCUUCAAGGCUUCAAACGUUGCUUCCGCUUCUUGAUUCCAUUGGAAUUUAUCUUUACUAAUCAAGCGCGUAAGUGGAGCUGUAACUCGUGAGAAAUCUUUGAUGAAGAUCCGAUAGUAAUUGGCAAAUCCCAAGAAACAUUGGACAUCUCUUACUGUCCUUGGAAUCUUCCAAUCCAUGAUUGUUUGGACUUUCUUAGAAUCCAUCAUGAGACCAUCAUUUGAAAUGAUGUAUCCUAAAAAGUCAACUUGAGUAGUGUGAAAUACACACUUUUCCAUCUUGGCAUACAAUCCUGCAUCUCUAAGUUUUUGUAAUACUUGACGAACAUGUAUUUCAUAUUCUUUGACGUUCUUAGAAUAUAUCAGGAUAUCGUCUAGAUAGCAGACGAUAAAAUUGUCUAAGAAUUCACGAAAUACAUCAUUCAUGAGAUGUUGAAAAGUAACUGGUGCAUUCGUGAGUCCAAAGGACAUGACAUUAUAUUUGAAAUGUCCAUAUCUGGUUCGAAACACAGUCUUCCAUUCAUCUCCUUCUUUUAUCCGUACUAGAUUAUAUGCUCCUCUUAGAUCUAUUUUUGUAUAGAUCUUAGCUUGAUUCAACUGGUCAAGGAGUCCUGAUAUCAAAGGUAAUGGAUACCUAUUCUUGAUUGUGAUCUUGUUGAGUCCUCGAUAAUCAACACACAUUCGUAAAGAUCCAUCUUUUUUCUUUACGAAUAGAAUUGGAGCUCCUGCUGGAGAUUUUGAAUGGCGUAUGAAAUUCUUUGCUAAAUUCUUGUCAAUAUAUGUCUUGAGUUCAGCCAUCUCAUCUUGCGAUAAACUGUAAAUUGGUCCAAAUGGUGGCUGAGUUCCUUCCUUGAGGUCGAUUGAACAAUCAUAUGGGCGAUGUUCAGGAAGAAUAUCUGCAUUCUUUUUCUCAAAAACGUCUUGAUACUCCUGAUAUUGACUUGGAAUGCUACUUGAAGUCUUUACGUUUUCAGAAAUAGGUGUAGCAUAAAUAGCAAAAGUUGAUCCUUCUUUUGUUGUGUGUAUAAAUACUUUUGCACCUAUCCGUACGGGUUUUACUAUACUAGACUUAUAAUUUUUUAUUUGGUUGGUAGAACUAUUAAUAACACUUUGGAAAAAAUUAAGUUUACGUGAAUUCCAAUCUAUUCGAGGGUUAUAUUUUUCUAGCCAGGAUAAACCUAAAAUAACUGGAUUGGACGGGGAUUUAAUUAUGUUAAAAGCUAUGUAGCUAUCAUGACCGUCUAUUGUUACUUUUAUAGGAUGAGUUUCAUGAGUGACAUCUCCAGAAGACAAGGGACGACCAUCUAUGACUUCUACAUGUACUGGUUUAGGUUUCUGUACAAAGGGUAUUUUACGACUUUUAAAAAU